GCUGCUCAAGUGUUGACUUCAAAGCCUUGGUGCUUGAUUACAUGUCUAAUGGAAACCUUGAGAAAUGGUUACAUUCUGAAAAUUGUUUCCUUGAUAUCAUACAAAGGGUCGACAUAAUGAUAGAUGUUGCGGUAGCUAUAGAACACCUCCACAAUGGACAUCCAGCACCUAUAAUUCAUUGUGACAUAAAACCAAGCAAUAUUUUACUAGAUGAAGACAUGGUUGCACAUGUUGGAGAUUUUGGCGUUGCCAAAUUGUUGGGAGAAGGUGAAGUAAUGAAGCAAACCAUGACUCUUGCAACUAUCGGGUAUAUGGCACCAGGUGGAUUAUUUUUUAUUUUUGUAUGAUUUUUUUCCGAAUUUCCAUUUUAUAUUUUUGUUUCAUGUGGAUGUGGAUAUAUAUUUGAAUAAGCAUUUUAGAAAUAAUUGAGGAUGAAUGAUGUUCUAAUUAUACUUGAAAUGCAGAAUUUGGAUCAGCAGGAAUUGUUUCUAUAAAAUCUGAUGUCUAUAGUUAUGGGAUCGUCCUUAUGGAAACUUUCACAAAGAAAAAGCCAACUGAUAAUGCUUUUGUUGAAGAAGAGACUAUGAGGCAUUGGAUGGAAAGUUCAUUGCCUAAAGGAGCGAUAGAAAUUGCAGAUGUUGAUUUAUUAAGAAGAGAGGAUGAGUACAUUGUCGUUAAAGCAAAUUGUAUCUCAUGUAUCAUGGAGUUGGCUUUGAAUUGUUCAGCUGAGUUACCAGAAGAAAGAAAAGAUAUGAAAGAUGUUGUGGUUGAGCUGAAGAAAAUCAAACAAAGGUUGCUAAACAACAUCCAACAUUUUUAACAGAGAUGGUGAGUAAUGAGUACACCUAAUUUUAUCUUUAAUUCAACAUUUUUAAUCUAUUCUGGAAUUUUAAUCAUAUAUAUAAUAUGUACUAUUUUUUUUUCUUUUGCUCUCACGUACUAGGCUCUCUUCAAAUUUCAAACUUCUUUUACAAAAUCAAAGUGGAAACGAAUAAAAUGAGCAACAAGCCUUCCCAUGAAUUACGGUUUAUGGUAACUUUUGGACAUCAAGAUAUUUUCUUUGUUAGAUUGGAUUUUCUUAGUUUCUUCUUUCAUUUACAGUAUAAUUUUAUUUUAAUCUUUUGCCGAAGAUUUUAUUAGGGGCGAAGCCAGGAAAUCUUUUUAGGGGGUGAAAUUAAAUUGUAAUUUUUACGAGAAAAUACAAUUUCACCAUUUUUAAUAGCCUAUAUUUUUAUAAUUUUUAAAGGAUUAAUUCAAAGUUUUAUCAUUUUUUGGGGGUCAAAGUACACUUUUACGUUUAUUAAUUUAAAAUUUUAAAAAUUUUAAAGGGCCUAAAUGGAAAAUUUUUCAUUUUCAGGGGGGUCGGGACCCCUGCCAACUCCCCUAGGGACGGCCCUAUUAACAAAGCCCUCAACAAAUGGUAUUGUUCUCAUGUUAGGGUUUUGUCUCUUCAUUCCGCUAAGAGCCCUAUGGGUUCAUGGAGAUGGUUGCAAGGUAAAGGCUACACAUGCAUUGGUUGGUAGUUUGAAUCCCUACGCACAUAUCCUCAAUGAUUAUUCCGCAAAGGCUGGGGAUAAAAUCCCGACAUGGGGACACUACCAUUAGUUGUUGAGGGCAGCACCGAUUGCCUAGCAAACAACACUCAAGAGACUUCUCCUAAAGGAGUCGAUCUCCCUCAACAAAAGUCAAGUACAAGGUCUAUUAUGGGUGAUUGUAGUUUAUCCAAUCGAUGACUGUUUUCAAGUAUUUUCUAACUCUUUCUCUUUAUUUUCUUCUAAAAUUUUCAAUUCAAAGACAAGUAUAACACAAUGGUCUUAAUUGAGCUAGCUUGCCUUGUCAGGUAAUUUGUUGCUUUCCAUUUAUUUAGAGUUAUUUAGAGUGUUUUGUAUUUAAUAUUGUCAUAGUUGAAAGUAUCAUUCAUAAUCUAAUCUAAUUGUGUUUUUGACUAGUGGUUGUUGAUCAAGGAAAACUAAAGGAGGACAACAAGAAGAACGAAACUCCAUAUCUUUACUAUCAUGUUCUACAAAACAAAGAGACUUUUUUCUCGAUGAAAUUUGUAUUGGGCUAUCAAUGUUUCAUGGAUUAUGUUAUUUUUCAAAUGUAAGAGGGGGUUUUGCCAAUAUUGCAUGCAAAAUCAAAGUAAUAUUUGCCAAUGCUUAGCUUAAUCAACUCUAAUGCUGCUGUGGAUUUGAUUUGUCUUUACAGUAUUUAGAGAUUAUUUUGUGAAUGUUAAAUUGCCUUUGGGCCUUUCAAAGGAAUUCAGCAAGCCUACAAGUCAUUUAAUUACCUUUGGACCUCCCAUGAAAUUUUUAUGUAUGAAACAUACAAUAUAUGGCUUGAAUUUCAUAAUUAUAUUAUAUAUAAUGAAUCAUUUGUUUCGUGUUCACCCUCUCCACCAAAAUAACCAUUAACAUCAUCAAAAUCACCCGUAUGAUUCCAAGGUUUCUUGUCUUGUCUAAACAUGUUUUUUUCUUUUAUAUUUUGUUAAUAAAAAAUAUAAAUUUAUUUUAAACUUUCAAAAACUUAUAAUUUAAACCUCUAAAAUAGAAAUUUUUAUUCGUCAAACUUCCACAAAUACAAACCUAUAUAUUAUUGUUAAUCCAAAUCGAAUAUUGGGUUUAGGGUUGAAGCAAAUUUAAAGAGGCAUACAGAGGUAUUGGCCCAACCAAAAUGGGAAAAAAAAUUCUAUUAAGAACCUUUAAAAAAUAAUAAAUUAAUACAUGAUAACUUCUUAAAAUUUUAUAAUUUAAUUCUAAUUCUUCUAUUUUUAUUUUUUUUUAAGAUUCGCCCCUAUUCAAAGCUUCAAGCGUUAUUUGGUUUGGUAGUAUAGCAUGGUUGUUGGAAAAUUAAGUGGAUUAAUUUAUUUCAUAUUUUUCAGUCCCACUCGCAUCUAUGUGAUAGCUCCAGUCUCUACAUGUCCGUGCCACUUACCCACAUGCCCGUGUGGGUUUUGGGGUUUUGAAUUUUUGUCUUCUUAAAUUGGUAUUCUAAUUUGUUUAAGUUACAAUUUAGUCCUUAAUAAUAAAACUUGAAUUAGACAUAGUAACCGUACUCAAAUUAAGCUGAAAAUUUUAGGCUUGCAUAGUUUAACUAAAAAAAGGUUGGUAAACACUUAGAUCUAAAAUCGGGUUAGUUUUACAAUAGGUGGUAAAAUGACGAAAUUACCCUUAGGUUAAAUUACAUAGGAAAAUAUUAAAAUUGGCUCAUAAUUUACUUCUGCAUUAAUAAAUAACUAAUAAUUAAAUAAGAUUGAGGUGUUAUAAGGUUGGGGUGUGUCUCGGGUGGUUGUUAGCUGGAGAAUCACUUAGGUGGCUGAUGUAAUACUUCAAAUUCGAGUCGGUCUAUCUCGAUCGGGUUUGGGGUGCCACAAUCUAUCAUAGGGUUCAUCUCUCUUAAGUAUUUAGAAAAUUAGUUCAUGCUUAAAAAUAAAAAAAAUCCAAAAGGGAGUAUGUAAUAGGCCCAAUUUGCCCGUGCCCAAAAGCACAAACAAAAAAUAAACCAAUUAUAAAAGCAAAUAGAAUUAAAAUACCAGACCUGUGCGUGCAUCACCACCAAGCGCGUGCAACCUUCUCCACACGAGUGCGCCUCCGUCAGUUGUUCCAGGCUGGCCAAGUACCUGCAAAUACACAUAAAAAUAACAGCCGCGAAAUAACAGAAAAGGAGAACGGAUUGGAUUUUUAGAUUUUUAUUUGUAUUAUUAUCUAUUCUGCAAAUUUCGGCUAUAAAAAGCCAGUGGAAUACUGUAAACGGGUUACGCAUACAUAGGAAAAGAAAUCAAAAAAUAAGAUUCAGAGAAAGAAAAGUUUAAAGGUGAUUUUGAAAUCAUACAUUUGUUUCUGUCGUUUUUUUCUCUUUGUUUCCUCGUUCGAGUUCUUUGUUUCUUUGUGAUUGUUUGACUCAUUGUUGUUAAGUAAAAGUGUAGAUUCAAGAAUCAAAAGAAAAGGGGUUACCUAGUUGCGAGAUCCUGGCUCUCUCCAUCGUCAUCGGAUGUUGGGCUGGGAUCGAAAGUCAUUCAAAUGGCCUUUAAGCAAAACGGCGCAGGGAGCCUUUGUUAGUUUAGGUUUCUGUUUUGAAGAAAUGAAUUGUAUUAGGGUUAUUUUGGUUUAUAAGCAGGGUAAUAAACGGCGUCGUUUAAUGCCGAUUUGAUGGCUCUAAAAACGAUGUCGUUUGAAGAGCAAACUCGUGCGGUGACCCGACCAGGGGUGGGAUCCGCGUUCUUUAGUUUAUUGGUCGAUUUGCGCCAUAGGUCCUUGUCAUUUUGGGGAAAUUUUAACAUGAUUUUUCUUUAUUUUUUCAAUCUGUAUAGCAUAUUUGAUUCAGAUUUCAAUUUGGACCCUAGUUAAACGACAUCAUUUUCACUAAUAAAAUCUGAGCAUCUUGCGUUUAAUUACUGAUUCGGUCUCGCAAUAUUGAAUUAGACUUCAAUUUGGUUCAAAUUUAGUUUUCUUUUUCUUUUUUUAAUUUAAUAUUAGAUUUUAAAUUUAAUUAGUCUUGUUUUGACAUAUUAUCAUAAAAAAAUUUAAUGUUAUUCUAAUAUUCAAAUUUGAUAGAGUUUUUGAAAUUUACUAUUAUUAUAAUUUAAAAUAUAAUAAAUUAUUAUUAUUUGUUAUUGAUGUUUUUAAAUUUAUCAUACACUAAUUUUUGAAUCUAUUAUAUUUUAUUUAGUUUUUUCUUUUAUUUCUAAUUUUAUUUGAGCUCCAAUUCUAAAUUCAUUGAUAUUUUUAUAGUCAUUGUUAUCAUUUUCAAAAUUAUUUUCUCAUAUCUAAUUUUGCCUCUAAGUUUUCUUUUAAAAAAUAAAUUAAUUCUUAUCUUAAUUCCUUAUGGUUGACAUUAUUUUAAUAUUUAGCUUGAUAUUGUUUUUAAAUCUUGUUCUUAGUCUAAUUUUAAAAAUACAAUACACUAUUCUUUCAAAUUACUACCAAUAUGUUUUAAUUUAUCAAACAUUAUUUUAAAAAAUUUUCUAUUAUUAUUAUUAUUAUUGUUUUUUUUUUGUCAUGAGGUAUCUCUUAGAAAAUUGAUUAUUUUGUGGGGUGCUUAAUUAUUAACAUUGGUGUUUGUAUAAUAUGACUAAAAUCAUUAUUUUUAUUUGUAUUUACCUAUUACUUGUUUGUCACUUCUUGGUAUGUUUGGGUUGUUAUUUAUCUUUCACAUUAUGUAUUGCUAUUCAAUCAUGUUCCAUUUGUAAGAAUUUUAUUUUAUUAAAGCAUUACAAUCAUUCUAUUUCAUAAUUCCAAAAAAGGGCUUGGUGUUCAUAAGUUCUCGACAGAAUUGUGCCCUAACUUACUGGGCUUCAAUUCUUCUCGAUGAAUUUUGAUAAUCAAGUGUUCAUGUUAUUAAAACCAUACAAUUUUUAAAAUAUGUUUUAAGAUUUCAAAAUGUUGGAUCCUAAAUUACUGGAUAUGGCAUUUUUUUAUCUUGGUUUUAAAAUAAAGGCAAUAUUUGAUGUUUAGGAAUUUCAAGAAAUUGAACCCUAACUCACUGGAUUUUGAUUUCUCGAUUGACCUAAAUAAUCAAAUAUCCUUCUCAAAACCUAUGAAUUUUUAAAAUUAAAAAAAAUGAAUCUAACUUCGAAGAUUGAACUGUUGCACUCUAACUCACUGAGUGUGGCGGUUUAUUUCUUUGAAAUGGGUACAUCUUAUUAUCCAAUUCAAUUAUUUAGGUUUUAUUUCAUGGGAUUGUAUUUAAAAAUCUUUUUCAAGUUUCGACACUACGACAUUAAACAAUCAAUUCGGUACCAAUUUUGGGCGUUACGGGGGUGCUAACCCUUCCUCGUACGUAAUCGACUCCCGAACUCUUCUCAAAAUUCGUAGACCUAAAAUCGUUUUUAACUUGAUCCGAUCACACCUCAAUAAAAGAUUGGUGGCGACUCCCAUUUUCAUUUUCAAAGUCGAUCCCCUUUUUUUCAAAUUUAAAAAUGGUUUCAACAGCUUGGCGACUCCGCUGGGGAUAUUUAGAGAGCCAAGCCGCAAAAUUGAUUGUUUUUUGUCUUAUUGUCAAAAAUUGAAAUUUGAUUUGAAAAAUUACGAUCCUCUCUUUGCACUUGUUUAUAUGAUUACUGUAUUAUAUCUUGGUAUCAUAUUGCAUAAAGACUGUUUAGUCUUACCCUUUUAAGUGGGAGUGAGAAGUUUCUCCUUCGUGAGGUUUUCACCUCCGUGUAGGAUAGUGGAUCACUUUCGGGAGACAUCCGUACCUAUGUCUUCAUGAGAUCUUCAUCUCUGUGCAGCCAUAGGGAAAUGUAUUCCCCUGAACUGAACUUGGUCUGUAUGAGCCUAUAAUGGGUGAGGAUCGAGGAAUCUACUGGUUCGGGUACCUUGACUUUAGAGCCAAACCGCAUGUAGAAGACCUUAGAAACCCAUCCUAGGUAGAGCCACUCCAAACCCCUAGUCCUUACACGACUAGGUAUUCUUUUUGUUUGCUUUUGUUUUGUACUAACCCGUUUUGUUUUGUUUUGAUUAUGUUUGCAUUGCAUUUGCAUCUUAGAAAAGAGAUGUUGAUUCAAGUUCGAUUACUAACUUAGAAAGUUUGUCAUGGAAUACAAAUUUCUUGAUAAAGUGGAAAAUAAUACGGCUUCGUAAAUAUAUUCUGAGAAACACAAGAAGGGUGAUGGAAGAAUUUGUUACUUUACUUCGUGGCCCGAGGAUUCAAGAUGAUUGUCUAAGAGCCUUCGACGUUUCAACUCCCUUAAAGAAGCUAACGAGCCUUAUGAAGAUGGGCAGAUGAUGGAUCGCGACGAGGAUCAAGAAAAGAAGCUAGCAGUGGCAUCUAUUGGAAUUUGGCGAGAUUUAUCUUAAAAAUGCGGAUGAAGGAAAAGAUCGAUGUUAUCUCUUAGAAUAUAAGGGCAAGGCCGUACAUGCAUCUGCUUUAAGUAAAGAAAUUUGCCUUCUAGUAAAGUUUUCUAAAUAUAAUUGAAUCAGAAUCAACGUCUCUUUAGGCAUUCAUUUCAUGCAUUUGCAUUACAUGACAUCAUAUGCAUUAAAAUUCAUUGAAAGAGUCUAAUUGAGUAAAUUUAUUUUAGUUAAUUUGGAACACCAACACUCUUACGGUAUCCAAGCAAAGAUUAGAGAAAUGGAACAAAUGUUGGAGAAAUUAGAGCGAAUGCAAAUACAGAUGCAGGAGCAAUUGACUAAAUUUCAACAGGAAAUGAUAGAUCAGAUGCUAGAAUUACAGAGAACUAUGAUGAGCCAGUUCAACCGAUUGCUAGCUGGAGAGUUAGAAGAGGUGAAAGACUUGGUGGUCCACUUUGGGGUUGAUAAUGAGGAUCUUGCCUAUUCCCCAGAUUGUAUUUUGAUAAGUGUCUAGGUCCAGCUAGAUGGGCGUCCACAAGGGGCACUCUGUACUAUUAGAUCCCAACAAUAUCAGACUGGAACAUUGACACCAAUGAAUUGCCUGACAGGCCCAGGAUUCAAUCUGAGGAACAAUUUAGCUAAUUUAGUUGCUCCCGAUAAUUCAGUCGAAAUAAAGCAGGCGAGGGUAAAGUACCCAGUUACUAUAAAGGCCCCAAGGAAGAAGGGGAAUAAAGGGGAUAAUGCAGGCAAAUAUAACAAGGGCCACUCAAAACCAAUUAUUGUGGGCAGGCCAAAGACAGAAACCAUCAGCCAUCAGAGCUCUUUAAAGUGAAAAUCUUACUCGAAAACGAAUACAGAAAGGCCGCAGUUCAUGCCUGUACCAAUGACGUAUAAAAAGCUAUAUCAAAACCUGUUUGAGGCACAUAUAGUAUCCCCUUUUUACUUGAAACCUCUACAACCACCGUAUCCCAAAUGGUAUGACACAAACGCAUAAUGCGACUACCAUGCGGGAAUUACGAGGCACUCAAUAGAGAAUUGCACUACCUUCAAACAGCUAGUUGAAAGACUCAUCAACAUGGGUGUUGUCAGAUGUGGUAACUCAUCUAGUACAGAAAAUCCACUACCCAAUCACAUUGAUAAUGGGGUGAAUGUAAUAUAUGAAGAGAAAUAGAAAUGUUCACAUUAAUGUCAUUUGUGAAGAAACAACUGAAGAAGGGACCUUGUUAGAUAUCCGCCCUUAUAAAUCUGGGAGUGUUCUAAACAAUUGGAUUGCGGAAGAAAUCCCUGUAGUUUUUAGAGCUUAUUUAGAGUAAUGUUUAGAACAUUUUUGUUAUUUUUAGCCUAAAAAUGAUAGAAAUUACUUUGUGAAAUAGGCUCAUGUCUGAAUGUCAUUAUUCUAAUAAAAUACAUCUUUGCAUUCAUUUUUGAGCCAAUAUUCUUUCAUUCUUUUCGAAUAAUUAUUCUUUCAUUCUUUUGGAUUUUCUUCCAAGUCAUUCUUUCAUUCAUAAUUAUAUUGUACAAAUAAUACAUUUUUUUAUAUAUUCUUUGGUACUUACUAUGGGUCCUCAGAUAUCAAUGACAUGGGUGACGCUGCUACAGACUUAGAAUCUCCUUUUGAGCGAGAUAUGUUUUAGAGGGAUCUCAUGACUUUAAAAAUGACAUAGAUUGUAGCCUAUUUCUGGACUUGUUGAGGAUGGUAGAACAAGAGGAUAGACAGAUCUUACCUCACAAGGAAUCAUUAGAAAUUGUGACCUGGGUGAAGAUAGGAAUUGACAUGACCACAAAGAUGAAGUGAGACCUCAUUGAGUUACUCCGAGAAUUCAAAGAUGUCUUUACAUGGUCAUACCAGGAUAUGCCCGAGUUAAGCACUAACAUUGUGGUAUAUGAUUUUCCUAUAAAGAAGAUUGUAAGCCAGUGCAGCAGAAGCUCAGGAGAAUGAGGCUCAAUAUUGUGCUAAGGAUAAAAGAAAAAGUCAAAAAGCAGUUUGAUGCUGGGUUUUUACAAGCGAUCAAAUAUUCAGAAUGGGUAGCCAACAUCAUGCUAGUCCUUAAAAAAAUGGAAAAUACGAAUGUAUUACAGGGAUUUGAACAAAGCCAGUCCUAAAACUUAUUGCUUUUCAUAAUACGGUAGGCUACUCGCUAUUUUCUUCCAUAGACUACUUCUCUGGAUACAACCAGAUAAAGACGCAUCUUGAGGAUAUGGGAAGGACCACAUUCAUCACUUUAUGGGGAACACUUUAUUAGUAUGGUCAUUCAUGUUAAAGAAUGCAGGGGAUGCCUUUCUCUUUCACUUAUGAUAGCUUUGCCCAUUGAAGUUGAUUGCCUUAUACUUUGUUGGAUUUCAUCCUAGUUGAAAAGGAAUAUCCAAAGUUUUUCAUAGUUAAAAUUUACCCCAAAAGGCUCUAUGAAAGAAAUCUGAUACCAAAGAAGAUUUUUUGCAUACAAGAUGAAUGUGGAAGACUUUAUCGAGGAAAACAUUGAUUCUGAUCAAAAAGGAUAACAACGACUUGCCUAAUCCUAUGAGUUCAGAUUCAAUAAAAAAAACAAAAAAGAAAAAAUCAAAAUCAAAAAUAAAAAAGAAAAAGUCAAAAUUAAAAGAAUCAAUCAAAAUAAAAAUAAAAAGUAUAAAAAUGAUAAAAAAAAGAAAAAGAAAAGGAGAGGCCAAGGCGAAAACCAACUAAGGGUGCUUUGUGACCAAAUGUGGAUUUGAGUUGAAAACCCGAAAAGGGCGACUCAAAUUUUGAGUAAAAUGGGGCUUGGACGUCAUCAUCAUCGAAAGCUUUUAAUGGGCAUUGCUUCACUGUUGAGAUCAUUAAUUACUUCAUCAAAUGGAUAGAGGCUGCUUCAUGCGUCAAUGUCAUCAUAUACUGAUAUAGAAUUCCAGAGAGGAUGGUAUUGGAAAAUGCAUUGAAUUUGAAUAAUAGCACGAUAGCUAAAGUCUGUAAUCAAUUCAAAUCAGACACCAAGGUUCGUCACUGUAUCGCCAAAAAUGAGUUAGGGAAAAUAACUGAGACUUGCAAGGGCUUGCAUGUGCAGUUACCAUUUGCCCUCCUUAUUUUUCGAAUGUUUAUCGGGACUUCAACAGGGGCAACACUGUUUUCUCUGGUUUACAAGACGGAAGUAGUUAUACCUAUUGAAGUAGAAAUCCCUUUUCUCUGGUAUUAGUUGAGCUAAGAGUUGGAUGAAGCAGAAUGAAUCCAAUCUGAUCAGAAGGAAAAGACUAAAAGCUAUUCAGCACAAUCAGAUGUAUCAAAGGAAAAUGAUGCAAGCCUACAACCAAAAGGUUCAUCUCAGAGAAUUCCAUAAGGGGAACCUAAUGUUGAAAAAGAUCAUUCCUAUACAAAAGGAUUUUAGGGGAAAACGGAUGCCAAAGGCCUUUUCCGGAGAAGCUCUGAUCCUGAGUAGGAUGGAUGGUAAAAACUAGCCAAAUCCUAUAAACUCAGAUUCAGUCACGCAUUACUUUGCCUAAAGAAGGAGAAGGGACCAAGGUGAUAACCCACAAAUGGCGCUUUGAUUCCUAAAAAAAAAAGACCAAGGUGAAAACCCGCAAAGGGUGCUUUGGGUCUAAAAAAUCAUAAUAAUAAUAAAGAAAAAAGAAAAAGAAAAUGGAGAGGCCAAUGUGAAAACCCCCAAAUGGUGCCUUGAGACCAAAGGGGAUUUGAGUUGAAAACUUGAAAAGGGCGGCUCAAAUAUUGAUCAGAUUGAGGCAUAUGAUGGUCUUGCUAUACUCGAAUCAACAGGAAAGGGUAGGCGACACCUUGGGGCAUCGACAAAGCAUUGUAGAUCUCCUAAACACAUAUCAAACUCAGAAUGGUCUUCAGAAAGUUUGUACAGAGAAGUUCAAGCUGCAAUAUUUGGGGCACCCAAUUUUUAUACUAUUUAUAUUGAAUUUGUUGUUCUUGGAAUACUUCAUUCUUUUCUAAGAUACACAUUCCCAUUCAAUUUCUUUAUUAUCCUUCUUUACUAAUGUUGAAAAUUUAUUCAUUUCGAGCUUUGCUCAGAACCAACUUUAGUCUUAUCCAUUGUUAUGACCUUUUUUGCAAGCAUGUUGCAUUGGAAUAAUGAUUAAUGGACUAAUAAAACUUUCACAAGGGAAGUUUUACAUAUUACUCUAGAAGUUUCUAAAUAAUACAGGAACCUGAAAUAGGACUAUUGUUUAGAACACACCAAGUUUAAAGGUUGGAAAUCUGAAAAGGAAGAGUCUAAAUUAGGACUUUCUCUUUGGAUUUUGUUGUCAAAAACAUUGACUGAACAAAAUGACAAGAUGUCGUGUUGAUGGCAAAGCUUAAAUAAACAAGCAAGUAAUGAUCACCAGGCAAUAGUAAUAGGUUACCUUGGAGAAGAGAGCCUUCAUUUGCGCAUGAGCUUUUAGUACGACACCCUGGGAAUGGUGUAAGGGACCAGAAAGAUUUAGAUCCUAUGUCCUUGAAUUAUGAUAGAAGAGGAUUGAGGAAAAGCCAUGUAUUCCUACCUUUGGGUUACAGUGAGAGAAAGAUGGUACAAAUUUUGCGUCCUAGUGGAUUGAACUUUGAGGUUUACAGUGGGGGCAAUCUGACUAAGUGUUUCUUUAAAAAUGCUAGCCGAGCAGGAAUGUGUUGUAGCACGUCAAUAAUAAAGUCUUAAUAAAUUUUGAGCAAUGGUAACCUAAGGGAUAAAGAAGGAUCAUUCUAAAAAAAUAGCAUUCUACAUUCAUGAAAACACUAUUCACACAUGUCUAGUUAGGAGCAUUUGAUUCAUUUUGAUCAUGACAUCCUAAUCAUUAGGCAUAAUUAGGUUCAUUAUACAUGUCAUGUUCCCCAGAGAACAGAUUGGUGAAGUUAUAAAUCCUAUCUCCCUGGUCAGAAGUGAAAUAGGUUGAAGAUUGUAAGUCCUAUCUCCCUGGUCAACAGUGGAAUAGGUUGAAGAUUGUGAAUCCUAUCUCCCUGGUCAGCAGUGGAAUAGGUUGAAGAUUGUGAAUCCUAUCUCCCUGGUCAGCAGUGGAAUAGGUUGAAGAUUGUGAAUUCUAUCUCCCUAGGCAAUAGUGGAAUAGAUUGAAAAUUACAGAUCUUAUCUCCCUAAGAAGUAGUGGAACAGAUCGAAGCCCCUAGCCUUGCCUCCCUAGUUUGCAACGGAGCAGGUUGAAAAUAACAGAUCUUGCCUUCCUGUACCGACGGCGAAAUAGAUCGAAGAUAUCAGUCCCAUCUCCCUGGACAGCAGUGGAAUAGGUUGAAGAUUGUAGAUCAUAUCUCCCUAGACAGUAGUGGAAUAGGUCAAAGAUUACAGAUCUUAUCUCCCUAAGUAGUAGUGGAGCAGAUCGAAGACACCGGCCUUGCCUCCCUCGGUUGUAGUAGAGCAGGUUGAAGAUAGUAGAUGUUGCCUUCCUGUACUGAUAGUGAAGCAGAUCAAAGACACUAGCAUUGAUCCCCUGGGUUGCAGCGGAGCAGGUUGAAGAAAGCAGAUCUUACCUUCCUGCAUCGACAGCGAAGCAGAUCGAAGACACCAGCCUUGCCUCCCUGGUUUGUAGUAGCACAGGUUGAAAAUAACAGAUCUUGUCUUCCUAUACUGACGGUAAAGCAGAUCAAAGAUAUCAGUCCUAUCUCCCUGGACAGUAGUGGAAUAGGUUGAAGAUUGUAGAUCAUAUCUCCCUGGACAGCAGUGGAAUAGGUCAAAGAUUACAGAUCUUAUCUCCCUAAGCAGUAGUGGAGUAGAUCGAAGACACCAGCCUUGCCUCCCUUGGUUGCAGUGGAGCAGGUUAAAGAUAGUAGAUCUGGCCUUCCUGCAUCGACAGCGAAGCAGAUCGAAGAUACCAGCCUUGCCUCCCUAGGUUACAGUGGAGUAGGUUGAAGGUAAUAGAUCUUGCCUUCCUGUACUGACAGUGAAGCCGAAGACACUAGCCUUGUCUCCCUGGGUUGCAGCGGAGCAGGUUGAAGAUAGCAGAUCUUGCCUUCCUGUACUGACAGUGAAGCAAAUCAAAGACACUAGCCUUGCCUCCAUAGGUUGCAGCGGAGUAGGUUGAAGAUAGGAGAUCUUGCCUUCCUGCACUGACAGCGAAGCAGAUCGAAAACACCAACCUUGUCUCCCUAGGUUGCUUCGGAGCAUGUUGAAAAUAGCAGAUCUUGCCUUCCUGCACCGACAGCGAAGCAGAUUGAAGACACUAGCCUUGCCUCCCUGGUAGCGGAGCAAGUUGAAGAUAGCAGAUCUUUCCUUCCUGCACCGACAGCGAAGCAGAUUAAAGACACUAGCCUUGCCUCCCUGGGUUGCAGCGGAGCAGGUUGAAGAUAGCAGAUCUUUCCUUCCUACACCGACAAUGAAGCAGAUCGAAGACACCAGCCUUACCUCCCUCAGUUGCAGUGGAGCAGGUUGAAGAUAGCAGAUCUUGCCUUCCUGCAUUGAUAGUGAAGCAGAUCGAAGACACUAGCCUUACCUCCCUCGGUUGCAGUGGAGCAGGUUGAAGAUAGUAGAUCUUGCCUUCCUGCAUUGACAGUGAAGCAGAUCGAAGACACUAGCCUUGCCUCCCUCGGUUGCAGUGGAGCAAGUUGAAGAUAGCAGAUCUUGCCUUCCUGCAUUGGCAAUGAAGCAAAUCAAAGCCAAUAAUUCUAUCUCCCUAAAGUGGCUGCGGAGCGGAUUCAAAUAAUAGAACUUAUCUCUCUAAAGUUGUAGUAGAGUAGAUCGCAUCACGUCUUAUCUCCCUGAAGUUACAACAGAGCAAACUAAGAAAGUAAGUCUUAUCCCCCUAAAGUUGCAGUGGGGCAGACUGAGAAUAGCAAAUCCUACUUCCCUAGCGGUGUAAUGGAAUAGAUUGAAGCUAUAAUAGCAAAUCUUGUUUCCCCGACAUCAAAGUUAAGCAGAUUAAAGUUACGAGUUACAAAUCCUAUUUCCCCGAUGUUGUGGUAGAGUGAUUGAGGCACCAAUUCCUAUACCUCUGAAUAUGCAGUAGGAUGGAAUGGGGCUACUUGAAGAAGAAGAGCACCAAGGUCCAAGCACGACCAAGCAGUAUGGAUGAAACAUACAAUAUAUGGCUUGAAUUUCAUAAUUAUAUUAUAUACAAUGAAUCAUUUGUUUCGUUUUCACCCUCUCCACCAAAAUCACCCGUAUGAUCCCAAGGUUUCUUGUCUUGUCUAAACAUGUUUUUUUUCCUUUUAUAUUUUGUUAAUUAAAAAGACAAAUUUAUUUUAAACUUUCAAAAAUUUAUAAUUUAAAAAUUUAUAAUUUAAACCUCUAACAUAGAAAUUUUUAUUCGUCAAACUUCCACAAACACAAACCUAUAUAUUGUUGUUAAUCCAAAUCGAAUAUUGGGUUUAGGGUUGAAGCAAAUUUAAAGAGGCAGACAGAGGUACUGGCCCAACCAAAAUGGGAAAAAAAAUUCUAUUAAGACCCUUUAAAAAAUAAUAAAUUAAUACAUGAUAACUUCUUAAAAUUUUAUAAUAUAAUUCUAAUUCUUCUAAUUUUUUAAAGAUUCGCUCCUAUUCAAAGCUUCAAGCGUUAUUUGGUUUGGUAGUAUAGCAUGGUUGUUGGAAAAUUAAGUGGAUUAAUUUAUUUCAUAUUUUUCAGUCCCACUCGCCUCUAUGUGAUAGCUCCAGUGUCCACAUGCCCGUGCCACUUAUCCACAUGCCAGUGUGGAUUUUGGAGUUUUGAAUUUUUAUCUUUUUAAAUUGGUAUUCUAAUUUGUUUAAGUUACAAUUUAGUCCUUAAUAAUAAAACUUGAAUUAGACAUAGUAAACGUACUCAAAUUAAGCUAAAUAUUUUACGCUUGAAUAGUUUAACUAAAAGAAAGUUGGUAAACACUUAGAUCUAAAAUCGGGUUAGUUUUACAAUAGGUGGUAAAAUGACGAAAUUACCCUUACAUUAAAUUACCUAGGAAAAUAUUAAAUUGGAUCAUAAUUUACUUCUGCAUUAAUAAAUAACUAAUGAUUAAAUAAGAUUAAGGUGUUAUAAGGUUGGGGUGUGUCUCGGGUGGUCGUUAGCUGGAGAAUCACUUAGGUGGUUGAUGUAAUGCUUCGAAUUUGGGUCGGUCUAUCUCGAUUGGGUUUGGGGGUGCCACAAUCUAUCAUAGGGUUCAUCUCUCUUAAGUAUUUAAAAAAUUAGUUCAUGCUUAAAAAUAAAAAAAUCCAAAAUGUAGUAUGUAAUAGGCCCAAUUUGCCCGGGCCCAAAACCACAAACAAAAAAUAAACCAAUUAUAAAGGCAAAUAGAAUUAAAAUACCAUUAUUGAACAGUCCAGUUUUUUUACAAACAUUAAGUCCAAAUAAUGUAGCCCAAUACCAUAACCCGAUUACAAUAAAACCUAACCCAAUAUAAUAAGCCUAAUUUCUAAAUACCAAGACCCAAAAUACCAAAACUUGAAAAAUACUAGACCCGACAGAUCCUAAACUCGGGUCUUCCAAGGCCUAGAUCUCUGCCCGAACCAAUGGAGUACCCUAGAAGCUUCUAGGUUUUCACUGGCACCGCAAUAGUAGAUCCAGACCCGCGCGUGCAUCACCACCAAGCGCGUGCAAUCUUCUCCACGUGAGUGUGCCUCCGUUAGUUGUUCCAGGCUGGCCGAGUACCUGCAAAUACACAUGAAAACAAUAGUAGCGAAAUAACAGAAAUGGAGAAAGGAUUGGAUUUUUAGAUUUUUAUUUGUAUUAUUAUUUAUUCUGCAAAUUUCGGCUAUAAAAAGCCAGUGGAAUACUGUAAACGGGUUACGCACACAUAGCAAAAGAAAUAAAAAAAGAUUCAGAGAAAAGAAAAGUUUAAAGGUGAUUUUGAAAUCAUACCUUUGUUUCUGUCGUUUUCUUUUUCUCUUUGUUUCCUCGUUCGAGUUCUUUGUUUCUUUGUGAUUGUUUGACUCAUUGUUGUUAAGUAAAAGAGUAGAUUCAGGAAUCAAAAGAAAAGGGGUUACCUGGUUGUGAGAUCCUGGCUCUCUCCGUCGUCAUCGGAGGUUGGGCUGGGAUCUGAAGUCAUCCGAAUGGCCUUUAAGUAAAACGGCGCAGGGAGCCUUUGUUAGUUUAGGUUUCUAUUUUAAAGAAAUGAAUUGUAUUAGGGUUAUUUUGGUUUAUAAGCAAGGUAAUAAACGAUGUCGUUUAAUGCCGAUUUGAUGGCUUUGAAAACGACGUCGUUUGAAGACCAAAACUCGUGUGGUGACCCGACCAGGGAUGGGAUCCGCGUUCUUUCGUUUAUUGGUCGAUUUGCGCCAUAGGUCUCUGUCAUUUUAGGGAAAUUUUAACUUGAUUUUUCUUUAGUUUUUCAAUCUGUACAACAUAUUUGAUUCAGAUUUCAAUUCGGACCCUAGUUAAACGACAUCGUUUUCACUAAUAAAAUCUGAGCAUCCUGACUUUUGCGUUUAAUUACUGAUUCGGUCCCACAAUAUUGAAUUAGACUUAAAUUUGGUUCAAAUUUGGUUUUCUUUUUCUUUUUUUAAUUUAAUAUUAGAUUUUAAAUAUAAUUAGUCUUGUUUUGACAUAUUAUCAUAAAAAAAUUUAAUGUUAUUCUAAUAUUCAAAUUUGAUAGAGUUUUUGAAAUUUACUAUUAUUAUAAUUUAAAAUAAAAUAAAUUAUUAUUAUUUGUUAUUGAUGUUUUUAAAUUUAUCAUACACUAAUAUUUUGAAUCUAUUAUAUUUUAUUUAGUUUUUUUCUUUUAUUUCUAAUUUUAUUUGAGCUCCAGUUCUAAAAUUCAUUGAUAUUUUUAUAGUCAUUGUUAUCAUUUUCAAAAUUAUUUUCUCAUAUCUAAUUUUGCCUCUGAAAGUUUUCUUUUCAAAAAAAAUUAAUUCUUAUCUUAAUUUAUUAUGGUUGACAUUAUUUUAAUAUUUAGCUUACAAUACACUAUUCUUUCAAAUUAUUAUCAAUAUGUUUUAAUUUAUCAAACAUUAUUUUAAAAAAUUUUCUAUUAUUAUUAUUAUUGUUUUUUUUUCAUGAGGUAUCUCUUAGAAAAUUGAUUAUUUUGUGGGGUGCUUAAUUAUUAACAUUGGUGUUUGUAUAAUAUGACUAAAAUCAUUAUUGUUAUUUGUAUUUACCUAUUACUUGUUUGUCACUUCUUGGUAUGUUUGGGUUGUUAUUUAUCUUUUACAUUAUGUAUUGCUGUUCAAUCAUGUUCCAUUUGUAAGAAUUGUAUUUUAUUAAAGCGUUACAAUCAUUCUAUUUCAUAAUUCCAAAAAAGGGCUUAGUGUUCAUAAGUUCUCGAGAGAAUUGUGCCCUAACUUACUGGGCUUCAAUCCUUCUCGAUGAAUUUUGAUAAUCAAGUGUUCAUUUUAUUAAAACCAUACAUUUUUAAAAUAAGUUUUAAGAUUUCAAAAUGAUGGAUCCUAACUUACUGGAUAUGUCAUUUUGUUAUCUUGACUUUAAAAUAAAGGCAAUAUUUGAUGUUUAGGAAUUUCGAGAAAUUGAACCCUAACUCACUGGAUUUUGAUUUCUCGAUUGACCUAAAUAAUCAAAUAUCCUUCUCAAAACCUAUGAAUUUUUAAAAUUAAAAAAAAAUGAAUCUAACUUUGAAGAUUAAACUGUUGCACUCUAACUCAUUGAGUGUGGCGGUUCAUUUUCAAAGUCGAUCCCCGUUUUUUUCAAAUUUAAAAAUGGUUUCAACAUAGUAUAAUCGAAUGAAAUAAAGAAACUCAUGAUAAUCUCCUAAGAAAUCAACUGCGAAUCUUCAAUCUUGAUGAAAAUUUACUUCAGAGUCAGCUUCAAUAGUGUCUUUGUAGUUGCUUUCUUAAAUAUUCUAGGAAGGUUCUCUCCUAUCUUCUUAUGUUUUUCAUAUAUACAUCUUAAAAUGCUCAAAAAAACCUAAAAUUCACAUUUUUUCACAAUUCAAAGCGAAAAUCUAUGAAAUUGACACGACUUGCCACAUGACCAUGUGGGUCAUAUAGUUUGCCCCUAUUUUUGCUCAUUUUCCUUCCAAAUGUUCUAUUAAGAAUAAAAACACGAAUUGAAAGGAUUAGGAGCAUAAAAUUCAUAAUUAACAUUGAAUAAGCAACCCAAAACACAUUAAGAAUGAUGUUAAAACAUAUUAAUUUUAGCACUUAUCAGAUAUCCCUACACUUAAGCAUUUGUUUGUCCUUAAGCAAAAUUCUCAACCCUUAUUCAAGUUAACCUCCCUCAAUUUAUUAUUUUCACUGACAAUUCCUUAGGAAAAAUCUACAGAUAAUUAUGCACUGGAAAUUGAAACUAGCAUGACACUAAAGAAUAAAAGCAAUCUAAGCAGAAAUUUGUAAAGAACAAAAAACAUGUGCGUCUCCUCUAUCUCAAUAAUUACCUCAAAUUAAAACUCAACAAUAAUCAAUACCCUAACCAAAAUUCACUCAAAGCACUCAAAAUGUUUAAGGUUCAAGUAUUGUGUGCUCAACAGUUGAACGAAAAUUGUGAUUAUCAUAGGCAUGCUUGAAAACCAAAUCUCUACCAGUUUAAAAAAAAAAUUGAGAUGAUGCACAAAUCAAGAGGUCUUUAGAAAGUUGUAACGGGACUUAGCUUAAGGGUACGAAAAAGGUCAAAAAAGUCGAUUACAAUUAAGAGUCGAGUUGAUAAGUUACCUAUAAUUGCCCAAUAUUCGCUCGGCCCAAACACCAAUAACAAACUAGUAUAAAAAUAAAAUAUAUAACAUCAGCCCAUUUUUCAAUGUCCAUUUACAAACAAUGGCCUAAUAGGCCAAACUAACCAAAAACCUAAUGACCUAAUGGCCCAGGACCUAAAGGCAGUUAACAGAAACCCUAGCAGAAAGCAAACCCCCAACGCCACAGCGGCCCCAACUGCUCCGCGUAUACUGCGCCAUGUCCACCAUCUCCAUACACCAGCUGGCCUCCGUACCUGCAAAGAAGACGAAGACAGCACAACAAAACAACAACAAUAGGCCAGCAUAAGAAAAAACAAAAAAAAUAAUAGAAAAAAAAGAAAAAAAGGGAUAACAAUUUUUGUAAUAUUCGGCAAUAUAAAAGCUGAUUGAUUCACUUUUGUAAAGUUUACACAGACGAGAAAGCAAUAUAAAGAUAAAAAAAUUCAAAAAAAAAAAGAAAAUGAACAGAUCAUUUCAGGUGGUGUUUCGACUUCAUUUGAUUCGGAUUAUUUUCUUUCUUUUCGUCUUCUUUGUUUUGUUUUCAUUUUAGAUGCGAAAAAUACAAAAGAAAAAGGGAGGACUCUUACCUUUGUAAACGCAAAGCCGGAGCUCUGUUUACUCCGUCCAAAUCAGAGUUAGAUAGGGUUUAGGUUUGAUGCGACGGUAGGGAGGAGGAGAGUUUAGGUUUCCUGCUGAUGAGUAAAAGAGAAAAUGAAAAUCCUUAAAUUUUAUGGUUUCAAUUAGUUGUAGUGGGGUGUUUAAACGGUGCCGUUUGGGGCCUGUAUUAGUGGCCCCAAAACGGCAUCAUAUUUGUUUAGAUUAUGCGAGACCCGAUGACCCGACCCGAACAGGAUUAGACCCGCGCGUUCUGGGUUCGCAAGGGUUAUUUGCGCAUUUGAUCCCAUGGUCUUAUCCCAUCAUUUCAAUUUCAUUUUCGUUAUUCUUAAAUCUUCCCCGUGUAUUUUAAUUCGUUUGAAUCUUAUCCAGAUCCAAACGCUAUGUCUUGAGGGCGUGGGAUUAUUUCCCUUUUUGGUCCCUUGUAUUACGCGUGUGUUACUAUUUGACCUGGUGGACCUUGUUUAAUUUCGUUUCUUUUCCUUUAAUUUUAGUUUUGACUUCGAUUUAGUCCCUUUUGCAUUUUUUAGUUUACUAUUAAUUAUUAUUACUCUUAUUAUUAUAGAAUACUACAUUUGUUCAUGUUUUUUUUUAAUCUUUAUAUGUACUGUUAUUUUAAGUAAUUAUCAUAUUUUUGUAUUUAAUCCCAAUGUAUUAUUUUCCUUUUUUAAAUGUAUUAUUAUUAGUAUUAUAAAUUUAUUGUGUAUUAUUAUAUUCAGUAUUUAUAUUAUUAUAUAUUAAUAGUUAAUUUCAUCAUGUAUCAUUUUACAUAUUUUACAUGUUAAUCUAAUAUAAUAUUUUUUUUGUGUGAUCUUAUUUAUAAUACCUCUUUUUAAAACCCAUUUAUAUACCCUUGUGUUUUAAAGAUUUAUAAUAUUUUAUGUGCAAUACUAUUAUACAUAUAUUUAGAUAUACAAUUUAUAUUAAACUAUUUUUGUUAUGCAUAUAUGUACAUAUAAUUUAUGUUUUAAAACCCUGUUUUAUUAUAUUUUAUUUAUUUCAGCCUUUAUAUGCAUUAUCAUAUGUAUAUUAUCCUUUAUAUUAAAUCUUUCAUUUCACAUAUCUUUUUUUUUAAUCAAUGUGUAUUAUUUUUCUUCCUCGUUAUUUUAUAUUUAGUGUAAUUUUUUAGAUUGAUAAUUCAUUUAAUUUUUUAUUGUUGUAUGAUGUGAGACGAUUGUUAUUACGCGUAUUUCAUUGCAUGUUUAUAUUAUUUGAUGAUUUAUCGUCCACUAGCAUGUAUCGUAAUUUACGAAUUACCAUCUUGAAUUACGCACUACCAUUCAAUCGCCUUACAUUUGUUUAGAAAAACAUCAAAAUCGUUUUGCAUAAAUCUUCAAGAUACUCGGUAUCCAAGAUUCUCAAGAGAAUUGUGCCCUAACUUACUGGGCUUCAAUUCUCCUUGUUGAAUUUAGAUAACCGAAUAUCCCUUCUUCAAUUUAAACGUAGAAAUUCCAAAAUCAAAGCUUAUCUCAGGAAUUCGAUACGUCGUGUCCUAACGCAUUGGACAUGACAUGUUGUUUUCUUGAGACGAGAAUUUUUCUAAAUAAAAAUAAAGGCAAUAUUCGAUAUUUAGGAAUUUUGUGGAAUCAAACCCUAACUUACUGGGUUUUGAUUUUUUCAUUUGACCCAAAUAAUCGGAUAUCCUUCUCAAAAUGCAUAGGUUUUAAAAGUCAAGAGAUAAACUUAAUUUUGAGGAUUUAAAAUGUUGCACUAUAACUUACUGAGUGUGACAAUUCCUUUCUUUGAAAUAAGUGAGUCUCAUCAUCCAAUUCGUUUUAUUCAAAUUUUCUCUUCAAAGGACCGUAUUUUGAAAUCUUUUCAAAUUCUCGAUGCUAAGGUAUUAAACAAUAAAUUCGGUACCAAUUUUGUUCGUUACGAGUGUGCUAACCCUUUAUCGUGCGUAACCGACUCCUGAACCUAUUUUCUCAAAUCUCGUAGACCAAAAUCAUUUUUAAGGUGAGCCGAUCACACCCCAAUAAAGGAUCGGUGGCGACUCCGAUUUUUAUUUUUUUAGUCGAGAACUAUUUUUUUGUUUUCAAAAAAAGUGGUUUCGACAGCUUAGCGACUCCACUGGGGACCCUUAGAGAGUCAAGCCGCAAAAUUGAUUUUUUUUGUGUUAUUGUCAAAAAUUGAAAAUUUGAUUUGAAAAAUUACGAUCCUCUCUUUGCACAUGUUUGUGUGAUUACUGUAAAUCAAGUUUUAUAUCUUGGCAUCAUAUUGCAUAAAGACUGUUUAGUAUUACCCUUUCAAAUGGGAGUGAGAAGCUACUCCUUCGUGAGGUUUUCACCUCCGUGCAGGAUAGUGGAUCACUUUCAGGAUACAUCCGUACUUAUGUCUUCGUGAGAUCUUCAUCUCCGUGCAGCCAUAGGGAAAUGUAUUCCCCUGAACCGAACUCGAUCUGUAUGAGCCUAUAAUGGGUGAGGAUCGAGGAAUCUGCGGGUUCGGGUACCUUGACUUUAGAGCCAAACCACAUGUAGAAGACCUUAAGAACCCAUCCUAGGUAGAGCCACUCCGAACCCCUAGUGCUUACCCGACUAGGUAUUCUUUUUGUUUGCUUUUAUUUUGUAUUAACCCGUUUUGUUUUGUUUUGUUUUGAUUAUGAUUACAUUACAUUUGCAUCUUAGAGAAGAGGUGUUGAUUCAAGUUCGAUUACUAACUUAGAAAGCUUGUCAUGGAAUAUGGAUUUCUUGAUAAAGUGGAAAAUAAUAGGGUUGCCCGAAUAUAUUCUGAGAAACAGAAGAAGGGUGAUGGAAGAGUUCGUGACUUUACUUCGUGGCCUGAGGAUUUAAGAUGAUUGUCUAAGAGCUUUCGACGUUUCAAUUCCCUUAAAGAAGCUGAUGAGCAUUAUGAGGAUAAGAAAACGAUGGAUCAUGACCAGGAUCAAGAAAAAGAGAGCUAGCAGUGGCAUCUAUUGGAAAUUUGUGGGAUUUAUCUUAAACAUGCGGAUGAAGGAAAAGAUCGUUUUUGUCUCUUGGAAUAUAAGGGCGAGGCCGUACAUGCAUCUGCUUUAUGUAAAGAAAUUGGCCUUCUAGUAAAGUUUUCUAAAUGUAAUUGAAUUAGAAUCAACGUCUCUUUAGGCAUUCAUUUCAUACAUCUGCAUUACAUGACAUCAUAUGUAUUAAAAUCCAUUGGAAGAGUCUAAUUGAGUAAAUUUAUUUCAGCUCCUCUAGAAAACCGACCAACUAAAAACACCCUUACGGUACUCGUCGCAAAACUAAGGAAAUAGAUCAAAGAUUAGAGAAAUUGGAGAAAAUGCAAAAAGAAAUGCAAGACCAGCUAUAGAUGCAAAUGAAUGAGCAGUUGGAAAAAAAUUAACAAGAUAUGACAGAAAUGAUGCAGGAGUCUCAAAACGAUAUGAUGGCUAAGUUAACGCAAUUACUAACUAAUGGAAUAAAUAAGGGGAAGGGCCCUAUGGUUAAUGAUGAAGAAAGAGACAAUGAUGGACCUCUAUAUCUUCCAAGUUUUACUCCUCCGCAUGUGCAAACUCAAGCUGAGGUGCAUCCACGCAGAUCCUCUAUUACGAUUAGGCCUCAUCAGUUUUAGGCUAGUGUUUCAGUGCCGAUGAACUUCCAGGCUGGAUCAAGUUCUAAUCCCGGAGAUAACCCGAUGAAUCUUGCUAUCCCUAAUUUUGAUGAAGUAGCUGAGAAAGAUAAAGCAAUGGAAGAAUUGCCAAAACAGUUUGAGGAAAGGUGGAAAUGGAUUGAAGAGAAAUCCAGGGUAAUAGAAAGCACUAAAAGUUAUCGUGCAAUGGAUGCUAAGGAUCUGAGUUUGGUCCCAGAUUUGGCACUUUCUUAUAAGUUCAAGAUGCCAGAAUUUGAGAAGUAUAAUGGGACCAGUUGCCCUCAAGCCCAUAUCACCAUGUUCUGUAGGAGGAUGACUGGUUAUAUUAACAAUGAUCAGCUAUUAAUACAUUGUUUUUAGGGUAACCUCAAAGAGGCAACAUCUAAAUGGUAUAAUCAAUUGAGCCGAACCAAAAUUAGUUCUUGAAGGGAUUCGACACAGGCUUUUAUGAGGCAGUAUAGUCAUAUAUCAGAAAUGACUCCUGAUAGAAUCACCGUGAAAAAUUUGGAAAAGAAAUCAAAUGAAAGCUUUAGACAGUAUCCACAGAGGUGGAGACAGGUUGCAGUCCAAGUUCAACCGCCACUCCUAGAUAAAUAAAUGACGAUACUUUUCAUCAACAUAUUGAAAGCCCCGUUCAUCACACACAUGUUAGGAAGUGCCACAAAAGGCUUUUCUAACAUAGUCAUGAAUGGUGAGAUGAUUAAGAACGCUAUAAGAACCGGGAAAAUUGAUGCGGAAGAGAGUAAUAAGAGGUCAGCCUCAAGGACAAGAGAAAAUAAGGUGAACAGCACAAGUUACUCUAAAUCAGUUACUGUAAGUCAGCCAAGAAAUGUGGUUGAUAAUCAACAAAAUUCAUCAAGGCGAGAUUUUGGCAUGAAGACUGAGAAGUUCCAGUUUACACCAAUCCCAAUAUCGUAUAGGGAACUGUAUGAAAAUUUGUUUGAUGCACAUGUUGUCUCCCCUUUUCAUGUGAAACCUCUACAACCUCCAUAUCCUAAAUGGUAUGAUACGAAUGCACAAUGUGACUACCAUGCGAGAAUUACGGGGCACCUAAUAGAGAAUUGCACUGCUUUCAAAAAGCAAGUUGAAAGACUCAUCAACAUGGGUAUUAUCAAGCUUGAUGACUCAUCUAGUGCAGAAAGCCCGCUACCCAAUCAUGAUUGAUGAUGGAGUGAAUGCAAUGUAUGAAGAGGUGUUGGGAAACGUUCACAUCAAUCCCAUGCAUGAAGACACAAUUGAAAAGGGUCCUUGUUAGAUAUUUGCCCUUAUCAACUUGGAGGUGUUCUAAGUAAUUGGACUGCGGAAGAAAUCCCUAUAGUAUUUAGAGCUUACUUAGAGUAAUAUUCAGAACGCACUUGUGGUUUUAGCCUAGAAGCAAUAAGAACUUUUUUAUGAAAUAAGCUCAUGUUUGAACGUUGUUAUUUUAAUGAAAUACAUCUUUGCGAUCAUUUUUGAGCAAAUGUUCUUUCAUUCCAUAUGAAUAAUUAUUUUGAUUCUUUCAUUCUUUUGGAAUUUCUUCCACAACAUUCUUUCAUUCAUUCACAAAUAAUUAUUUAUAAAUUCAUACAUUCUUUGUAUUCUUUGACACCUGCAAUAGGUCCCUAGAUAUCAAUGUCAUGAGUGACACUGCUACAGACUUAGAAUUUCCUUUUAAGUGAGACAUGUGUUCAGAAGGAUCUCAUGGCUUUGAAGAUGAUAUAGAUUGUGACCUACCUCCAGACUUGUUGAGGAUGGUAGAACAGGAAGAGAAACAAACUUCACCCUAUGAGGAGACAACAAAAAUUGUGAGCUUGGAGGAGAGAAAAUUAGUAAAAAGUAGAAUGUUCAUAACCGGAGAAACGAAGUAAGACCUUCUUAAAUUACCUCAAGAGUUCAAAGAUGUCUUCGCGUGGUCAUAUCAAGAUAUGCCCGAGUUAAGCAUUGAUAUUAUAAUCUGAACAACAGCAAUGUUAGAAAUUUGUAGUAUGCUCAAGAUUUACAUCAUAAACAAUGCAGUGAAAUUUCUUUUCUGGGGUAAUGCAUUUAUCUUUAACUCAUCAUAGCUUUGCCCAUUGAAAUCGAGUUACCAUUGCUCUGCGUUUUUGUUGGAUCUCAUCCUAAUUGAAGAGGAAGAUCCAAGGUUUUUUGUCAUAAUUAAAAUUUCACCCAGAAGGCUAUAUAAGAGAAACUUGAUACCAAAAAAAGAUCCUUCGUAUACAAGAUGAAAGCAGAAGAUCUUAUGUGGAAGACCUUAUCUAGAAUAACAUUGAUUCUGAUCGAAAGGGAUGACCAGGACUUGUCUAAUCCUAUGAGUGCAGAUUCGAUAAAAAAACAAAAAAAUAAAAACCUCUAUCGGGGUUAUUCCUUUCUCUUUAGCUUAUCACGGUUUUUUCCAUUGAAGUUGAAAUUAUUUCUCUCCGGGUAUUGGCUAAGCUGAAGUAGGAUAAAGAUCCAAUCUCAAUAUGAUCAGUUGAACCUAAUUGAAGGAAAAAGGCUAAAAGCUAUUCACCACGGUCAGAUGUACCAAAAACGAAUGAUGCAAGCUUACAAAAAAGGGUUGUCCCAGAGAAUUCCAUGAGGGAGACCUGAUAUUGAAAAAUAUCCUUCCUCUACCAAAGGAUUUUAGAGGGAAAUGGAUGCCAAAUUCAGAAGAUCCUUAUAUCGUAAAGAAGUAAUUCUCCAAAGGAGCUUUAAUUUUGAGCGAGAUGGAUGGAAAACCUGCUAAAUCUUGUAAACUCAGAUUCAGUCAACAAGUAUUUAACCUGAAAAAAGAGAAAGGAUCAAGGUGAAAACCUACAAAGGGCGUUUUGAGUCCUAAAAAAAUAGAGACCAAUGUGAAAACCCUCAAAGGGCGCUUUGAGUGCAAAAAAUAAAAAAAUAGUAAAGAAAAAAGAAAAAGAAAAUGGAGAGGCAAAGGUGAAAACCCACAAAGAGCGCCUUGAGACCAAAGGGAUUUUAGUUGAAAACCCGAAAAGGGCGGCUCAAAUAUUGAUCAAAAUGGGGCACGAGGUGAUCAGAGCAACUAAAAUUUUGAUCGAAUUAGGGCAUGUGGUGAUCUUGUUAUACCUCAAUCAAUAGGAAAGGGUAGGUGACAUCUUGGGAUAUCGACAGAGUAUUGUAGAUCUCCUAAACACAUGUCAACCUCAGAAGGGUUUUCAGAAAGUUUGUACAGAGAAGUUCAAGCUGCGAUAUCUGGGGCACCUAAUCCUCAUACUAUUUAUACUAAAUUUGUUAUUCUUGGAACACUUCAUUCAUUUCCAAGAUACGCAUUCCCAAUCAAUUUCUUUGUUAUCCUUCUUUACUAUCUUUGAUAAUUUAUUCCUUUCGAGCUUUACUCAGAACCAACUCUAUUCUUAUCCAUUGUUAUGAUGUUUGUGCAAGCAUGUUGAAUUGGAAUAAUGAUUAAUGGACUAAUAAAACUUUCACAAUGGAAGUUUUGCAUAUUACUCUAGAAGUUUCUAAAUAAUACAAGAACCUGAAACAGGACUAUUGUUUAGAACGCACCAAGUUUAAAAGUUAGAAAUCUAAAAAGGAAGAGUCUAAAUUAGGACUUUCUUUUUGGAUUUUGUUGUCAAAAACAUUGAUUGAACAAAAUGACAAGAUGUCGUGUUAACGACAAAGCUUAAAUAAACAAGCAAGUAAUGAUCACCAGGCAAUAGGAGGAGGUUUCCUCGGAGAAGAAAGCCUUCAUUUGUGCAUGAGCCUUAGGUGCGACACCCUGGGAAUGGUGUAAGGUUACCGAUAGAUUUAGAUCUGGUAUCCUUAAAUUGCAAUAGGAAAAGAUUGAGAAAAGGCUAGAUUUCUUCAUUCUUGAGUUACAAUUGGAGAAUGAAGGUACAACUUUUUGCGUCCUAGUAAAUUAAACUUUGAGGUUUACAGUGGGGGGCAACCUGACUAAAUGUUUCUUCAGAAAAGCCAGCCAAGCAAUAAGGCGAUGUAGCAUGUCAGUGAUAAAGCCUUAAUAAACUUCGAACAAUGACAACCUAAGCAAGAUGGUUCUCAAAAAAAUAAAAUUCUACAUUCAUGCAAACACCAUUCACACAUGUCUAGCUAGGAGCAUUUGAUUCAUGUUGAUCAUGACAUUCUAAUCAUUAGGCAUAAUUAGGUUCAUUAUACAGGUCAUGCUCCCCAAAGAACAGAUCAGUAAAGAUAGCAGAUCUUACCUUCCUGUACUAACGGUGAAGCAGAUCGAAGAUACCAGUCCUUUCUCCUUGAGCAACAGUGGAGUAGGUUGAGAAUUAUAGAUCUUAUCUCCCUAAGCAGUAGUGGAUCAGAUCGAAGAUGGCAGACCUUAUCUCCCUAAGCAGUAGUGGAGCAGAUUGAAGCCGGUAAUCCUAUCUCCCUGAAGUUACCGUGGAGCAGAUUAAAAUAAAAGAUCUUAUCUCUCUGAAGUUGCAGUAGAGUAGAUCGCAUCAGGUCUUAUCUCCCUAAAGUGCAGUGAAGCAGACCGAAGAAUUACAGAUCUUAUCUCCCUAAGUAGUAGUGGAGCAGAUCAAAGAUUACAGAUCUUAUCUCCCUAAGCAGUAGUGGAGCAGAUCGAAGACCCCAGCCAUGUCUCCCUGAGCAGCAGUGGAGUAGGUUGAAAAUUACAGAUCUUAUCUCCCUAAGCAGUAAUGGAGCAGAUCAAAGACCCCAGUCUUGUCUCCAUGAGCAGCCGUGGAGUAGGUUGAAAAUUACAGAUCUUAUCUUUCUAAUCAGUAGUGGAGCAGAUCGAAGAUUGCAGAUAUUAUCUUCCUAAGCAGUAGUGGAGCAUAUCAAAGACCCCAGCCUUGUCUCCCUGAGCAGCAGUGGAGUAGGUUGAAAAUUAUAGAUCUUAUCUCCCUAAGCAGUAGUGGAGUAGAUCGAAGAUGGCAGAUCUUAUCUCCCUAAGUAGUAGUGGAGUAGAUCAAAGACCCCAACCUUGUCUCCCUCAGCAGUAGUGGAGUAGGUUGAAAAUUGCAGAUUUUAUCUCCCUAAGCAGUAGUGGAGCAGAUCGAAGACCCUAACCUUGUCUCCCUGAACAGCAGUGGAGUAGGUUAAAAAUUACAGAUCUUAUCUCCCUAAGCAGUAGUGGAGCAGAUCGAAGACCCCAGCCUUGUUUCCCUAAGCAAUAGUGGAGUCAGUUGAAAAUUACAGAUCUUAUCUCCCUAAGCAGUAGUGGAGCAGAUCGAAGACCCCAACCUUGUCUCCUUGAGCAGCAGUGGAGUAGGUUGAAAAUUACAGAUCUUAUCUCCCUAAGCAGUAGUGGAACAGAUCAAAGACCUCAACCUUAUCUCCCUAAGUAGCAAUGGAGUAGGUUAAAAAUAACAUAUCUUGUCUCCCUGAGCAGCUGUGGAGUAGGUUGAAAAUUACAGAUCUUAUCUCUCUAACCAGUAGUGGAGCAGAUCGAAUAUUGCAAAUCUUAUCUCCCUAAGCAGUAGUGGAGCAGAUCGAAGACCCCAGCCUUGUCUCCCUGAGCAGCAGUGGAGUAGGUUGAAAAUUACAGAUCUUAUCUCCCUAAGCAGUAGUGGAGCAGAUCGAAGAUGGCAGAUAUUAUCUCCCUAAGCAGUAGUGGAGCAGAUCAAAGACCCCAGCCUUGUCUCCCUCAGCAGCAGUGGAGUAGGUUGAAAAUUGCAAAUCUUAUCUCCCUAAGCAGUAGUGGAGUAGAUCGAAGACCCCAGCGUUGUUCCCUGAGCAACAGUGGAGUAGGUUAAAAAUUACAGAUCUUAUCUCCCUAAGUAGUAGUGGAGCAGAUCAAAGACCCCAGCCUUGUCUCCCUGAGUAGUAGUGGAGUAGGUUGAAAAUUACAGAUCUUAUCUCCCUAAGCAGUAGUGGAGCAUACCGAAGACCCCAGCCUUAUCUCCCUGAGCAGUAGUGGAGUAGGUUGAAAAUUACAGAUCUUAUCUCCCUAAGCAGUAGUGGAGCAGAUCGAAGACCUCAGGCUUAUCUCCCUGAGCAGCAGUGGAGUAGGUUGAAAAUAACAGAUCUUGUCUUCCUGUACUAGCAGCGAAGUAGAUCGAAGACUCUAGUCUUAUCUCCCUGAAGUUACAGUGAAGCAGAUAGAAGAAACCAAUCCUAUCUCCCUGAAGUUGCAGUGGAGCGGAUUAAAACCACAGAUCUUAUCUUUCUGAAGUUGCAGUAGAGUAGAUCGCAUCCAGUCUUAUCUCCCUGAAGUUGCAGUGAAGAAGACAGAAGAAACUAAUCAUAUCUCCCUGAAGUUACAGUGGUGUGGAUCAAAAUGAUGGAUCUCAUCUCUCGAAAGUUGCAGUAAAGCAGAUCGCAUCAGACUUAUCUUUAAAGUUGCAAUAGAACAAGAUGAAGCUACAAGUCUUAUCUCCCUGAAGUUGCAGUGGAGCAGACUAAAGAUAGCAAAUUCUGUUCUUUUAAGAAACUACAAGGUGCAAAUCCUAUUUCCCUGAUGUCGCAGUGGAGUGGACCGAAGCACCAAUUCCUAUAACUCUGAAGAUGCAAUAGGUUGGAAUGAGGCUACUUGAAGAAGAAGGGCACCAAAGUCCAAGCACGACUGGGCAAAAUUGGUCAUUUCUAAAGUCAUUGCUCCUUUCCCAUUACACAACAACGAGCAAAGAGGGGCAGCUGUAAUUGCCCAAUAUUCGCCCGACCCAAACACCAAUAACAAACCAGUAUAAAAAUAAAAUAUAUAAAAUUAGCCCAUUUUUGAAAGUCCAUUUACAAACAACGGCCUAAUAGCCCAAACUAACCAAAAACCUAACGGCCCAGCACCUAAAGGCAGUUAACAAAAAACCUAGCAGCAAGCAAACCCCCAGCGCUGCAGCAGCCCUAACUCUUCCGUGUAUGCUGUGCCAUGUCCACCAUCUACGUACGCCAGCUGGCCUCCGUACCUGCAAAGAAGACGAAGACAGCACAGCAACACAACAACAAUAGGCCAGCAUAAGAAAAAACAAAAAAAAUAAUAGAAAAAAAAGGGAUAAACGAUUUUUGUAAUAUUCGGCAAUAUAAAAGCCGGUUGAUUCAGGUGGUGUUUCGACUUCGUUUGAUUCGGAUUGUUUUCUUUUCUUUCGUCUUUUUUGUUUUGUUUUCAUUUUAGAUGCGAAAAAUACAAAAGAAAAAUGGAGGACUCUUACCUUUGUAAACGCAACGCCGGAGCUCUGUUUACUCUGUCCACAUCGGAAUUAGAUAGGGUUUAGGUUUGAUGCGACGGCAGGGAGGAGGAGAGUUUAGUUUUCCUGCUGAUGAGUAAAAGAGAAAAUGAAAAUCCUUAGGGUUUCAGUUAGUUGUUGUGUGGUGUUUAAAUGGCGUCGUUUGGGUCCUGUAUCAGUGGCCCCAAAACGGCAUCGUAUUUGUUCAGAUUAUGCGAGACCCGAUGACCCGACCCGAACAGGAUUAGACCCGCGCGUUCUGGGUUCGCAAGGGUUAUUUGCGCAUUUGAUCCCUUGGUCUUAUCCCAUCAUUUCAACUUCAUUUUCGUUAUUCUUAAAUCUUCCCCGUGUAUUUUGAAUUCGUUUGAAUCUUAUCCAGAUCCAAACGCUGCGUCUUGAGGGCGUGGGAUUAUUUCCCUUUUUGGUCCCUUGUAUUACGCGCGUGUUACUAUUUGACCUGGUGGACCUUGUUUAAUUUCGUUUCUUUUCCUUUAAAUUUAGUUUUGACUUUGAUUUAGUCCCUUUUGCAUUUUUUAGUUUACUAUUAAUUAUUAUUACUCUUAUUAUUAUAGAUUACUAUAUUUGUUCAUGUUUUCAUUUAUCUUUAUAUGUACUGUUAUUUUAAGUAAUUAUCAUAUAUUAGUAUUUAAUCCCAAUGUAUUAUUUUCCUUUUUUAAAUGUAUUAUUAUUAGUAUUAUAAAUUUAUUGUGCAUUAUUAUAUUAAGUAUUUAUAUUAUUAUUAUAUAUUAAUAUUUAAUUUCAUCAUGUAUCAUUUUACAUAUUUUCCAUGUUAAUCUAAUAUAAUAUUAUUUUUGUGUGAUCUUAUUUAUAAUACCUCUUUUUAAAACCCAUUUAUAUACCCUUGUGUUUUAAAGAUUUAUAAUAUUUUGUGUGCAAUACUAUUAUACUUAUAUUUAUAUAUACAAUUUAUAUUAAACUAUUUUUGUUAUGCAUAUAUGUACAUAUAAUUUAUGUUUUAAAACCCUGUUUUAUUAUAUUUUAUUUAUUUCAGCCUUUAUAUGCAUUAUCAUAUGUAUAUUAUCCUUUAUAUUAAAUCUUUCAUUUCACAUAUCUUAUUUUUUUAAAAAUCAAUGAGUAUUAUUUUUCUUGCUCGUUAUUUUAUAUUUAGUGCAACUUUUUAGAUUGAUAAUUCAUUUAAUUUUUGAUUGUUGUACGAUGUGAGAUGAUUGUUAUUACUCGUAUUCCAUUGCAUGUUUAUAUUAUUUGAUGAUUUAUCGUCCACUAGCAUGUAUCGUAAUUUAUGAAUUAUCAUUUUGAAUUACGCACCACCAUUCAAUCGCCUUACAUUUGUUUAGAAAAACAUCAAAAUCGUUUUGCAUAAAUCUUCAAGAUACUCGGUAUCCAAGAUUCUCAAGAGAAUUGUGCCCUAACUUACUGGGCUUCAAUUCUCCUUGUUGAAUUUAGAUAACCGAAUAUCCUUUCUUCAAUUUAAAUGUAGAAAUUCCAAAAUCAAAGCUUAUCUCAAGAAUUCGAUACGUCGUGUCCUAACGCAUUGGACAUGACAUGUUGUUUUCUUGAGACGAGAAUUUUUCUAAAUAAAAAAAGGCAAUAUUCGAUAUUUAGGAAUUUUGUGGAAUCAAACCCUAACUUAUUGAGUUUUGAUUUUUUCAUUUGACCCAAAUAAUCGGAUAUCUUCUCAAAAUGCAUAGGUUUUAAAAGUCAAGAGAUAAACUUAAUUUUGAGGAUUUAAAAUGUUGCACUCUAACUUACUGAGUGUGACAAUUCAUUUCUUUGAAAUAAGUAAGUCUCAUCAUCCAAUUCGUUUUAUUCAAAUUUUCUCUUCAAAGGAUCGUAUUUUAAAAUUUUUUCAAAUUCUCGAUGCUAAGGUAUUAAACAAUAAAUUCGGUACCAAUUUUGGGCGUUACGAGGGUGCUAACCCUUCCUCGUGCGUAACCGACUCCCAAACCUGUUUUCUCAAAUCUCGUAGACCAAAAUCGUUUUUAAGGUGAGCCGAUCACACCCCAAUAAAGGAUCGGUGGCGACUCUGAUUUUUAUUUUUUUAGUCGACAACUAUUUUUUUUUGUUUUCAAAAAAAGUGGUUUCGACAUUACCAAACCACAAAAAAAUCUAUAAAUGUUAUUAAAAAUACAAAAAAAAUAAUUUUUAAAAUAUUUUUGCAAUUUUAUGUAAUCUUAAAGAGUUAGGACCAAAUUAACAAAAGCUAUAAAUGUUUAAGGAUAAAAAAAAAACGCUAUAAAUGUUAUUAAAUUAGGUGUAGUUUGAGGACUAUAACCCUACUAUCUAGUUUUUAUAUAUUAAUCUUAAUUCCGAAUUACCCUAUCAUCAGUUAGAAAUGGUUUCUAGAAUAUUUACACAUAUUUAACUUAUACUUUAUUUAAUAGUUGAAGUUCAAUAAACAUAUUAAAUUACUUUAAAUUUAAACUAAUCUUUUAUGAAAAUAAAUAAUCGUACAUAAUUUGUCUUAUUAUAUAUGCGAUGUUUGCGGAUUCGUUAAUUUUAAUAAAGGGUAAUCAGUUUUCAACUUAUCCCUUUUUCUUUUAGUUUCUAACAAAAUCAAUUGAUUAAUUACCUUAAUCCAUUAUAACUGAUUUUAAAAUUGAUUUUAUCAAUCUAAUGGACUUGACCAAGUCAACUAAGCCAAUAUCAUCGAUUUUAAUUGGGUUUUGCUCGACCCUACUGAAAAAACAUGUCGAUGUCAUUAAAAUUGAUAUAUUUACCUUAUUAUAAAAGAUUAAUUAUAAAAAAGUCAGUCAAUGAUAAAGUCACAUAUAACUCCAAAGACCCCUCAAAAAAUUGAAUGCAUCAACAACAAAUUUAAUGUCCAUAUUUUAUUGUUUCCGAAAAGGUUGAUAAGACUGAAAUUAUAGAAUAAAAUCAUGAGGUCUUAAAUGCAAUUGAAUUAAAUGUGAUCCUAAAAUGUUAGACUUCUUAUCCCACAAAUGUGACAGUGCUUGUCAAGCACUGAAGUUUAACUUAAAUAUUGGUUUGUGUUAAAAUUGAAAUGUUCGUGUCAUCCAAAAAGAUCUUGAAUUCAAUUAAUUGUGAUUGAGAAAUCAUGUCAGAUUGCUUGAAAAUUGGUGAGAAAAUUCUAGGUCUAUGGCAAGUAAUUUCAUGAUGAUGGGGAAAUAAAUAGGCAACAUUUUUCAAUGUUCUUCUUUCAUUGUAUUUGACAAGAAACAUAGAAAAUGACAAAGAAAAUGAAAAUGAAAUAAAGUUAUCAGAUCUCAAGACUCUUUGCUCUUCUUUCAUUGGAUCGGAUCGACAGGCUAGAAAGUAAAGUUCUGGCCUUCGUGCCUUAUGAUGUAGGUUGAUAUUUUGUUCCUUUGAAUUUUCAACACACAAAAGGCAAUAACCAGAAAGGAGCAUAAGAGAAGAGGUGGGACUGGAGGCAAGGAGAUGGUGGAGAGAACUUGUCAAAGCUAAGAAUCUCUAAAAUAUUUCUCAACAUUUUUUUUUUAAUUUCAUGAUUCAUGAAAACAAAUUUAGGUAUUUCUCAACUUGUCAAAUUAGUGCUCAAUCUUUGAAAGGUUGCUCACAUAAGGAUCAAACUUUUCAAAAUGGUCAAGUAAGAGUUUAACCUUUACAGAAGUGCUAAAAUAAGGGUUUUUCAUGCACUUCAACCCAAUUUGUAGAAAAAAUAGGUAAAUACCGAUAUGUUUCGAGUAAAACACAUAGCCUGAUACACAACAAUUGAGAAGCCCUUAAUUGAACAACUUUUAAAAGGUUAGGGCCUUAUUUGUCUAUUUUAAAUUGAAAUAUUUAACUUAUUGCAGAAGACUAACAGUAGAAAAGUAAGUCAAUGCUAAAGUAACAAAUGGAUAAUAUUGGUGAUCAUAUAUUUAUUUCAAAUAUUGGUGACCAAAACUAUAAUUUUAAGAAAACAUAAGUGAUAGAAUUUGUGAUUUUCCAUUUUUUUUUCAUUUUCAAAAAAAAUUUGGUUUUACACUUUUUUUUAUUGCUUUAACAAAUUUAGUUUUAACAUUUUUUUCAUUUUACCUCAAUUUUUUUUAUUGCUAUAGCCCUCAACAGUACCAAAUUAAAAAUCCAAUUUAGCCUUUAUGAAAAAAAGUGCACCAAUUAAGUGCUCAAUGAUUUCAAAAAAAAUUAAUUGACCUCUUCAUUUAACAAAAACUGUAAGUUGAACGAUUUAACCGUUCAUUUAACUAAUGUUACGGACAGAAAUCACCAAAAGUUGUCACAUGAUAGUAUGAUAAUGUGGCAUACCACAUAAAAAAUAAAAAAUACUUUUUAACAAAAAAAUAAUUUAAAAAACAUUUUUAAAUUUUCUUGCAACAACCUUGAGUAACAUCAUCCACAAAAGCUUGAAGGUUCAUAUCCAUAGAACCACCUUUCAUGGCGGCUUCCCUCGCUAACCCUUUCCAUUUCUCAACAUUUUUCUUCACUUCCAUCCCUUUUCUCUUCAUCCCCCAUCACCAAAUCCAAGCACCUAACGAUCUUAUCACGUUAAUUUAUUGAAAGAAUAUUUUAUAAAUUAACUUAUUAUUAAACAUUGAAAAAUAUUUGAAAGAGUAGUCAUGAUAUAAUAUAUUUAUAAUAUUAAAAUAUAAUUUAUGCUUUAAUUAUAAGGAAAAUUUUGAAAGAUGAAUUUAUUAUAAUGUGUAGAUAUAUAAUUAAUGAUUCGGAAUCUUAAUAUAUACAGAAUAUAUAUAAUAUUUUUUUCGGUGAAUAAUUAAAUAUCAUUAAAUCAUUUUGUAAGUUUAUCAUAAUUUUUAUAAAUGAUACAAAAAAUAAUUUAAAGCAUAUUAUUCUAUAAAAAUAUUAAAAUUAAUAAAUCAUAUUAUAAUGAAAGAUGCAAAAUAGAUACAAGAAUAUAAUAUAAGAGGUUACAAUUCUUUGUUGUAGAUAUAUAAUUUACUAGUAAUAUUUUAAAAUAUGUUGUUAGUUCUUGUAUUUCUAUAAUUUCAUUCUUUAUACUUUAAAAGUUAUAAAUUUAAUCCCUUAUUUUUUUAAUUUAAAAAUUUUAAUUAAAUUAUUGUCAUCUUUGAUAUUUUUUGUCAGAACUUGUCAACUUGUUUCUUUUGUGUUAGUCAUAUACCACGACAUACAAGGGAAACCUAAUUAAUAUGUAAAGUUGACAAAUUUUGACAAAAAAAAAUUAACGAUAGGACUAAGAUUUUUAAAUAAAAACAAGAAGACUUAAUUUUAAAUCUUUUAAGUAUAAGGACUAAAUCUCAAAUUUUAUCAAAGUAUAAGGACAAAUAGAUUAUUUCAACCUUAUUUUGUUUAAAAAGUUUUUUACAUUUAUUAGAUCAAAAUAUUUUGUUAGUGCUUGUACCUUGACAACAUUUAAAAUUUAAUCCUUGUACUUAAAAAGUUAAAAAUUAAGUGUUCUUACUUUUCUAGUUUAAAAAACUUAGUCUUACCAUUAGGAUUGUAAGUAUUUUCUAUUAAAAUAUGUAAACUUGGAUAUAUGCUGAGUAGACUGCUUUCAUAUAAUGUUGCAUAUGAUUGAUUAUAACACCCCAAACCCAGCCUAGACGUUAUGGCCGAAUAUGGCGAUGUCACAUGGAAUGGGAUUUGAAGACAAGAUUGUCGAGUUAAAACCGUUACAGUUAGUUAACUUUUAUUUAAUUCGGAAAAAAAUAAGUACUAGUUGAUUUGCUUUAAAACUUGUCUCUUAGCAUAAGCUUUUGUAACCAAUUAAUUUAGGGAAAAUCGUUUAUCAUUUACGAAAACCUUAGUUUUUAGAAAAACCGUGUUUUGUUGAGUUGCAGUUUUAAAAAAAUUCUAUAAAAAAUAGUAUAAAGUCUCAAAUUUAAAGCCAACCAGUCCGUAGUCCAAAAGUUACAUCAAAAACCCCAAAUAAGUAAUAAUUUCUAGACAUUAACGGAAAAUAGUCUAAAAUUUACGUGUGGCCACCGUCGAGUCCUCCGCUACACCGACCCGUCAAGUCUGGGGAUUACUUGUGCACAUUAAACAAAAAGAGUGAGUUUACAUAAACUCAGUGUGUAAUCCCACAAAAACAAACAAACAAUUAGUAUUCAUAGUGCACAGUUGAACAAUCUUGGGCCUAAACCCUUUUCAGUAUCAGUGACACUUUAGGCCUUAGCCCAUCUCAAUACAGUGUCAAAAAUGCAGUAGGGCCUUAGGCCAUCAUAGUAAAUUCACUUUAUUUAGAAAAAAGAUAUCUCCAAAUUAAUUUGAUCAAUGGUUCACCGCCUUGGAGGCCUGUGUCCAAUGAAAGUAUAUUUUAUAAAUUAACUUAUUAUUAAACAUUAAAAAGAUAUAUGAAAGAAUACUUUUUUAUUAAUUUUGUUUUAAGUCACCAAAAUCUAUAUUGAACAAAUCAAAUUUAGUGACAAAAUUAAAUAAAAUUUUAAGUUUACUUUCAAAGUUAAAUAUGAGUUAAAUGGUAAAUUUACUUAUAUUUUCAAAGUGUAAUGAUAAUGAAGUAUUGAUGGAUGUUAAUUAAGUUUUGAUUGAUAAAUGACUAAAUGUAAUUAAAUAUAUUAUAAGUUAGAAUAUUAUUGUUUGAUAAAUCACUUUCACAUUUUCUUUUGAAGGUUUCAUUACUUGACACUUUACUUUAGAUGCUACUUAAUUUUCCUUUUCUACGUAGAAAAAGGAUGAUUGAAGGAGAUUUCAAAGUUAUCAAUAUGUUGUUAGUCUCUUUUAGAUUCAUUCUAAUCACUCAUAUUAUUUUGUGGUUAAAAUAUGUUGUUAGUCCUUUUUUUCCUAUAAAAAUUUGAUAUCCAUUCCUUAUACGUUAAAGGUUAUUAAUUCAAUUUAAAAAUUUUAAUCCAAUUAUUAUCAUCUUUGAUAUUUUUUCUCAGAAUUUGUCAACUUGCUUAUUUUGUGUUUGUCAUAUACCACGACAUAUAAGGGAAACCUAAUUAAUUUGUAAAGUUGAUAAAUUUUGACAAAAAAAAUUAACGAUAGGACUAAGAUUUUGAAAUAAAAACAAGAAGACUUAAUUUUUAACCUUUUAAAUAUAGAGACUAAAUCUCAAAUUUUAUCAAAGUACAAGGACAAAUAGAUUAUUUCAACCUUAUUUUUUUAAAAAGUUUUUUACCUUUAUUAGAUCAAAAUAUUUUGUUAGUGCUUGUACUUUGACAACAUUUAAAAUUUAAUCCUUGUACUUAAAAAGUUAAAAAUUAAGUCUUCUUCCUUUUGUAGUUUAAAAAACUUAGUCCUACCAUUUGGAUUGUAAGUAUUUUCUAUUCAAAUCUGUUACAACUGCCCCUCUUUGCUCAUUGUCGUGUAAUGGGAAUGGAGCAAAGACUUUAAAAAUGGUCAAUUUUGUCUGGUCUUGAGGAAUCUCGACCUUUUUGGUGCUCCUCUUUUUCAAGUAGCUUCAUUCUAACCCACUACAACUUCAGAGGUAUAAGAUCUGUUACUUCAAUCUACUCCACUGCAACUUCGAGGAGAUUAGACUUGUAGCUUUAAUAUGCUCCACUGUAACUUUAGGGCGAUAAGACUCAUAUCUUCAAUCUACUCCACUGCAACUUUAGGGAGAUAAGAUUUGUAACUUUAAUCAACUCCACUGUAACUUCAGAGAAAUAAGAUUUGUGGUUUUAAUCUACUCUACUGUAACUUUAGGGAGAUAAGAUUUAUGGUUUUAAUUUGAUCUACUACAACUUCAGAGGGAUAAGAUUUGUUAUCUUCAAUCUGCUCCACUGCAACUUCAGGGAGAUAAGAUUUGUAACCUGAUUUAAUCCGACCCACUGUAACUUCAGAGGUAUAGGAUUUGUCUUUAAUCUACUCCACUGCAACUUUAGGGAAAUAAGAUUUGUUAUCUUUAACCGACUCCACUGCAACUUCAGGGAGAUAAGGUUUGUAGCUUUAAUCUGCUCUACUGCAACUUUAGAGAGAUAAGAUUUUCUAUCUUCAAUCUGCUGCACUGCAACUUCAGGGAGAUAAAUUUUGUGCCUUUAUUCUGCUCCACUGCAACUUCAGGGAGAUAAGAUUUGCCACGAUAACUUCAAUCUGUCCCACUGCAACUUCAGGGGUAUAGGAUUUGUGGUUUCACUGAUCUGUUACACUGUUCUUUGUGGAACAUGACCUGUAGAAUCCAUUUUAUGGGCCUAUAUCUGUGCCAAGCGAUUAGGAUGUUAUGAUCAGAAUGAAUCAGAUGCUCCUAACUAGAUGUGUAUGAAUGAUAUUUGCAUGAAUGCAGAAUGUCAUUUUUCGAGAAUGAUCCCCUUUUAAUGCUUAGGUUGACAUUGCUCGUUAUUCAUCAAGGUUCUAUCAUUGACACAUUACCCUGCCUUCUUGCUCAGCUAGUAUUUUUGACAGGAAACUCGAAGAAAUAAUCACAAUUUAAACUAUUUGUUCCCAAACAUUUCUAGCUCUUAGAUUUGGUUAGUUAUGUCCAAUGGUUCUGUUUCAGGUCCUUGUACUAUUUAGAAACCCUUUCAAAGCAAUAUGCAAAAAUCCUUUUACUUGAAUAUUAUUUUACUUGAAUAUUAUUUGUCUAUUAAUCGUUAUUUCAAUGAAAAAUGCUUUAAAAAUAUUGUAACAAUGGACAAGAUUGAAAAAUGCUUUUAAUCGUUUUUGAAACAAUGAUAUAAGAAAAUCCUAAAUGCAUUUGGAUUAAGCGAGAUGAAGAAAUGUUGAAAUUGUUUUUCUCCAAUAGAGACCCACAAUUGUGGAAAACUGUGCCAAUACUCAAAAAGUAUAAUCACAAUUCUACAAGACAUGCAUGUCUUAAAAUUUACAUCAAUAUGUUAAAUUAAGAAUAUUAAAUAAAUAAAUUAUUUAUCAUAUUGUUAUCAUUAAUCUUGAGUUGGUGUCGAGUUAAUUUUUGACACCAACUCAAUCAACAAUAAAAAUAUUCACGAUGUGGGUGAACAAAUAUAUUUUAUAUGUAAAAAAUAUAUGUAAAAAAAUAAGUAAAAAUAUAUUAUUUUUAAACACAUCUUUGUAUUCUAAAUUUGUUGUUUUCAUACACAUAGGUGUGUGAUAGGAUUUGUAGUCAAUAUUUAAGAGAUUUAUUGAGUUGGUGUUACUUUGGUCACCAACUUAAUAAUGUAUUUAUCAAAAGACCCUCAAUUAGGGAGAUGGGCUUGACCGAGCCAACUCAACCUAUAUCAGCUGUUUCUAUUGAGUUUUGCUUGACCCAAAGACCUGUCAAUGUUGUUAAAAUUGAAAUAUUUAACUUGUUGGAGAAGACUAACAGUAGAAAAGUAAGUCAAUGCUAAAGUGAUAUGUCGACGUUUUUGUUUUUUUGUAUUUUUUUUUUAGUGGUAGACGUUUUGUUGUUUUCAAAAUAGUUGAUAAGCCUGGAAUUAUAAAAGAUAAUCAUGAGGUCUUAAAUGCAAUUAUGAUAUUUCUAAAAAGAUAUUUCUCAACAAUUUUUUAAAUUUCUUAAUUGAUGAAAAUAAAUUUAGGUAUUUCCCAAUUUGUAAAAACAUGAUUUUCUUUCUUUUUUUUUUUUUGAAUUUCUAGGUUUUUCUUAGCUUUUUUAUAUUAUUUUGGAAUUUUUGUAAUCUUUUUAUAAUUUAUUAAAAAAUAAUAUAUUUGUAAAAUUUUCUAAACCAAUGAAGGAGAAUGUGAUAAAAUAAGGGGUAAAUGUGUAUUUAAGCCAAAGAAAAUAAAAGAAUAAUAAUGAAAUUCACCUAAAAACAAUUAGAAAGACUAGAUGAACAAUUUGACCUAAAACUUUGUUUGAAAUGAUGUCAUUAAUGUGUUACAUCCUUUCUUAGAGAGAUAAAGAUUAAAUGAAUUUAAGAUACGAUGAAACUUGUAUCUCUUUUCAAUAAUUUAACAUUAUUUCAAUAUUUUCAUCUUGAAAAAGAUCAAACUGAAAAUGAUAUGUCAAAUUUUUUAAAUGAAAAUGUUGAAUAAAAAAAAUACAAGUUUGACGGUAUCCCAAUGUCAUUUAAUCCUUUCUUGCGUAGGGGUAUAACUUUAAGGUGAGUUAUUACAAAGUAACAAAUGGAUAAUAUUAGUGACCAUAUAUUUACUUCAAAAGAUUGGUGACCAAAACUAUAAUUUUAAGCAAACUGUUAUAUUAGUGCACCAAUUGAGUACUUAAUGAUUCCAAAAAAAAUCAAUUCACCUUUUCAUUUAACAAAAACUAUGAGUUGAACGAUUUAACCGUUGAUUUAACUAAUGUUACGGACAGAAAUUACCAAAAGUUGUCACAUGAUAAUAUGAUAAUGUGGCAUGCCACAUAAAAAAAUAAAAAAUAUUUUUAACAAAAAAAUAAUUAAAAAAACAUUUUUAAAUUUACUUGCAACAACCUCGAGUGGGGUGAGCAAAACUCGAUUCGACUCGAAAAAAUAAAAAAAAUCAAAUUUUGAGUUAAACGAAUCGAGUUAUUCGAGUUAAUCGAGUUAUUCGAAUCAACUCAAAUUUUUUUCAAAUUUCGAGUUCGAACCGAGUUGAGUUUUCAAAUUCAAAUAACUCGAAUAAUUCAAAUAAUUCGAAUAUCAAACUAUAAUAUUUUAUAUUUUUACCCCAAACUCCCAAACCUUUUUACUUUUCCCUCAAAAUUCUUUUACUCCUUCCCACUUUCCCCCCAAAACUUUUACUCCUCUCCUCUCCCAAACCCCCAAUCUACCCAAAAUCCAUUUCCCACCAGAAUUUUAUUCUCCCAUUUACUUUUUCUCAAAAUUUUACUCCCAAAAACCCUCAAAAACUUUUUAUUUUCCCCCAAAAUUUUUACUCCCUCCCACUUUUCCCCUAAGACUUUUAAAAUAAUUUUUAUUAAAAAAAUCACAUUUUUACAUUUAAUAUAUUUUUUAAUUCCAAAAUACAUAGUGACAAGAAUCUGAAGAUAAUUGAAACAACUAAGCAAGCAAAGAAGCUAAUCAGUAUAUACAAUAUUAAUAAAUAAAUUAUGAGGUAAUGAAAGUUAAUAAAAAAUUUUGAUUAAGGUGGACAAAUUUUAUUACGAUGGGUGACAGUGGUUACAAUGACCCAAAAUUAUUUUUUAAAAUUUAACUCGAACAAAUAUAUUUGAUUCGAUUCGAAUUUCAUCUCACCCAACUCGAUUCGAGAAAAUUUCAAAUCAAAUUAGGAUGAUAAAAUAUGAUUCGUCAACUUGAUUAACUCGAAAUUUUUUUAUUCGAUUCGAUCGAACGCUCACCCCUACCUUGAGUAACAUCGUCCACAAAAGCUUGAAGGUUCAUGUCCAUAUAUCCACCUUUCUUGGCGGCUUCCCUCGCUAACCCUUUCCAUUUCUCAACAUUUUCCUUCACUUCCAUCCCUUUUCUCUUCAUCCCCCGUCACCAAAGUCAAGCACCUAACUAUCUCAUCACGUUAAUUUAUUGAAAGAAUAUUUUAUAAAUUAACUUAUUAUUAAACAUUAAAAAAUAUUUGAAAGAAUAUUCAUGAUCCUCUGCAUAACUACUUUUACUUGUGAGAGAAAAAAAUGUCUAAUAUUGAAAGAGCCCAUCAAUAAGAAUAUGUUUCUCUCUUUUUGUUUUUUCCUUAUAUUAUUUAUAAAUCCAUUUUUUUAAUAUCAUAAAAAUUGGUAUAAUUAAUUAUCAAUAACCUUUUACUAACCCUUGAACUAGAGGAUAAAACACAUUUGAGCACGAUUAAACUCAAAUUUUCCUACACUGACAAUAACACCAAUACUAACACAACAAAAACUCAGUCAACCAUAUAUUUUUAUUUUUAAAUAUAAUAAAACAUGUACAUCUAGAAUAAAUCUAGUGUAUAUAAAUAUAAUAGUGUACCGGGUUGCGUGGCAAAUUUUGUUAAUUUAAGUUUAGACAUGGAUUGUUGGUUUGAUAAUAGGUGUGUUUUUAUUUUUGUAUUUUUUAUGUCCGUUUUCAUCGACGAUAUUUGUGGAAUUGAACUGCAAUUGGAAAAAAUAAUUUUUAAGAUAUUUUUUAUACACUAAAUGUUAACUCUAUUACAAUUUAUACGUAUUUAAUUUUUUUGGGUUGAACAUAAGCUUAGAAAAUUAAGCGCUCAUCAGUCCAAAUGAAAAUGAUCAUCAGUCACCAGUAACUGUCUAAUAUCUUCUUUAAGCUAGAAUCUCACAUAAUAAGGAGGAUCUUCCAAGAUAACCAGUUGCUCAAUUACGCCUCCAUCUGCCUUAGCUAUGCAAUCAACAACUUUACUGGCAUUCCACUGAAUAUGUCGAAAUUUGACUUCCCAAUUUUUGGAACACCAAUCGUGAAUCUGUCUUACUUCAGCAGCAUUACUUAUUGUAGCCAACCCGUUACAAAUAGUUUCAAUCAACAUUUUGUUGUCACUUUCCAUCUCAACACAUCUGAAUCUUAUUUUCAGUCUUUCAAGAAUAGCUCUGGCUUCAAUCUAGGAGAUAUCAUUCAUACCUAAUACAGAGAUUAAAAUAAUAAAAAAGACUAAUUUAAUCCAUUUCCUAUAAUAAAAAUAUAUCCCAAAUAAUUUAAAAGUGAAUUUUAUGUUUGGGUUUUUGAUGUGUGAAAUAUUGAUAGAUUCUAAUUAAGUUUUGGAUUGAUAAACUAAUAAAUGUAAUUAAAUAUAUUAUAAGAUACAAAAUUAUUGUUUGAAUCUCCAUAAGUCGGUUUAGGUCAGUUUCGUUCGGUGACUUGCCUCUAAGUCUUCUCACGUCUACAUUAAUUCACAUUUUCUUUUGAAUUUCUAUGUAGAAAAAGGAUGUAUGGAAAGGGAAUUAUCAAAACAGGAUUACGAUAGUGUUGAAAAUAAUGAUAUGUUAGGAAAAAAUAUAAAAAAAGGUGUAUAUAAUUAGUAAAUAUAUAAAUUUUGUAGCGUUACUAUAAUUUUAAAAUAUAUUAUUGUUAAAAAAUUUUAAAUUUCAUAUAAAAUUUCAAACAUAUUUUUAUUGAUUUUUUUAGAGAAAAAUAUAUUUUGUUGAUUGUUUUAAGGCUUACAAAUUUUUAAAUAGUUUUAAAUAUUUUAUGAAGUAUUUAAUUUUUAAAAAUAUAUCUUUUUAAAAGGGAAAUUCAUUAAUUCAUUUAAUGAGUAAGAUCAUACAAUUUGAAGGGAGAAAAAUAGCAAACAUGUUGUGCGCGUUGAAGGACAAGCUCUAUCAAUAUAACAAAAACUUCAGUUUCAGCAUCAAUAGAUCAUUAUGGCACGUUGAUGAUCAGCUCUGUCAGAACUCAAGCAUAAUAUAUUAAGAAUGAUUGCUAAUACUUAAUAUAAUAAGGAAAUCAGCAAUAGAUGGUCCAAAGCACUUGGAUAUAUGUUGAGUAGACUGCCUUCAUAUAAUGUGCAUAUGAUUGAUAAUAAAAAACCUAUUAAGUUGAAAUUUUUUAAUGGGAUUAAAAAUGAUUGGACUAGAAUUUUUAAAUUAGAAAAGUAGGAGGAUUGGAUUUUUUUACUUUAAAUUACAGGGACUAAUAGCAUAUUUUAAACAAUUUAUUAUUCUGAAAAUAAAAGAAUAUAUAGUAAUUAAUAAAAUAUAUUUUUUAAGUUUUUUUAGUGGAUUAUGUGGAGUAAUGUGAAGAAAAUUUAGGACAAAUUUUGAAAAUUUGCUUCUUUGUACGUAUUUUUUAAAGAAGACUUGACAUUUAUUUUGAAACUUCUUCAAAACUUUGCUUUCCUUUUAAUUUUAGGGUAGUCUUAAAAAUCAAGUUUAUCAAGUGUGCGAGGGUUGAAACAUAUUAAAGCAUGCUCUUUGGGCUUUUCUUCAUCAUCCAAACUAUUUUAUCAACUCAACUUCCCUUUUCCUACUUUUUUUUUUAUUUUCUUGGCUUAUUCCAUCUUGCAAUCAUGAACUACAAGACUUGCUUUCAUCUUCUUUUAGCUUUAUUCAUACCAUGUUCCGUACUUUGCUUGGCUAUGACAGUCAGGAAUCUCAACUCCGAUUAGUUUGCACUUCUCGAGUUUAAGGAUCGCAUUGCCGGUCCUCAAAAUGUCUUGGCAAACAAUUGGACGGCCUCAACCGCUGUUUGCAAUUGGAUUGGUGUUUCUUGUGGCAUCCUCCAUAAAAGAGUUAUAGCUUUGAAUCUUACAAGCAUGAAUCUUAGGGGUACUAUCCCUCCACACCUUGGAAAUCUUUCAUUUCUACUCUCUCUCGACUUGAGUAGCAACCAUUUCUAUGGCCAUCUCCCUAAAGAAUUGGGCCAAUUGCAUCGUUUGAGGAUCCUUCAAUUAAGCUACAACCGUCUUAAUCGGGAAAUUCCGUCAUGGCUUGGGAACUUACAGAGAGUUCGAAGGCUGAAAAUGAAAAAUAAUAACUUUACAGGCACAAUCCCUGAAACACUUGUUAACAUGUCUAAUCUAGAGAUCUUGAACUUGGGAUUCAAUCAAUUAUCAGGUCAGGUUCCAUCUUCCAUCUUCAAGAUUUCUUCUCUGAAGAUUAUUAUUCUCUCCAGUAAUAGCCUAUCAGGUGGUUUGCCUAGUGAUAUGUGUCAACAUCUUCCCAAGCUUGAAGUGCUUUACUUGUAUAGCAAUGAGUUAUCUGGUAACAUUUCGUCAAGUAUGGGCAAAUGCAGCAGCCUUAAAAAUUUGUCGUUGUCCAAUAAUCAAUUGACAAGGAUCAUUCCAAAAAGUAUUAGAAAUCUGACACGACUCCAGGAAUUAUAUUUGGGGUUUAAUAAUCUAGAAGGUAAUCAAUAUCCUUGAUUUCUUGAAUUUAAAGAAUUUUUUAUUAAAGUGUUUAAUUUGUAAUAGAUAACAAAAGGAAUAACGUUUUAUUUCAUUCGAGGCAAAAUAGAUAAUUUGAUGAAAACAUAUGCUGAAAAACAUUGGUUUUUCGACUGUCUGCAGGUCAAAUUCCUAAGGAAAUUGGUAAUCUUCUUAGUCUGGAAAUGCUUAAUAUUCAAGCAAUUAAAGGCCUUACAGGUCAGAUUCCAACUUCGAUCUUCAACAUUUCUUCUCUGAAGACCAUUGAUCUCUCCAACAAUAGCCUAUCAGGUAGUUUGCCUAAUGAUAUGUGUCAACAUCUUCCCAAGCUUGAAGGGCUUUACCUGGGUUUGAAUGAAUUAUCUGGUAACGUUCCAUCAAGUAUGGGCAAAUGCAGCAACCUUAAAAUUUUGUGGUUGUCCUCUAAUCAAUUGAUGGGGAUCAUUCCAAAAAGUAUUGGAAAUCUGACACGACUCAAAGAAUUAUAUUUGGGGCUGAAUAACCUAGAAGGUAUUAAAUUUUCUUGGUUUUUGAGUUUAAAGUAUUUUUUUAAUAAAAGAGUUUGAUUAGUAAUAGAUAACAAAAGUAAGAGCAUUUUAUUUCAUUCAAGGCAAAAUAGUUCAAAAUAGUUAAUUUGAUGAAAACAAAUAUGCUUAAAAUAUUAAAAUCUAACAUUUGCAAAUUAUGUAAAACAAAAAAUAAAACCUCUUUGACUUAUGCUAACAAAAUAGGUAGUUUGACACCUUGAUUUUUCGACUAUGUGUGCAGGCCAAAUUCCUGAGGAAAUCGGUAAUCUUCUUGGUUUGGAAAUGCUUAAUAUUCAAGAAAUUAAAGGCCUUACAGGUCAGAUUCCAACUUCGAUCUUCAACAUUUCUUCUCUAAAGACCAUUGAUCUCUCCAACAAUAGCCUAUCAGGUAGUUUGCCUAAUGAUAUGUGUCAACAUCUUCCCAAGCUUGAAGGGCUUUACCUGGGUUUGAAUGAAUUAUCUGGUAACGUUCCAUCAAGUAUGGGCAAAUGCAGCAACCUUAAAAUUUUGUGGUUGUCCUCUAUCAAUUGAUGGGGAUCAUUCCAAAAAGUAUUGGAAACCUGACACGACUCAAAGAAUUAUAUUUGGGGUUGAAUAACCUAGAAGGUAUUAAAUUUUAUUGGUUUCUGAGUUUAAAGUAUUUUUUUAAUAAAAGAGUUUGAUUAGUAAUAGAUAACAAAAGUAAGAGCAUUUUAUUUCAUUCAAGGAAAAAUAGUUCAAAAUAGUUAAUUUGAUGAAAACAAAUAUGCUUAAAAUAUUAAAAUCUAACAUUUGCAAAUUAUGUAAAACAAAAAAGAAAACCUCUUUGACUUAUGCUAACAAAAUAGGUAGUUUGACACCUUGAUUUUUCGACUAUGUGUGCAGGCCAAAUUCCUGAGGAAAUCGGUAAUCUUCUUGGUUUAGAAAUGCUUAAUAUUAAAGCAAUUAAAGGCCUUACAGGUCCGAUUCCAACUUCGAUCUUCAACAUUUCUUCUCUAAAGACCAUUGAUCUCUCCAACAAUAGCCUAUCAGGUAGUUUGCCUAAUGAUAUGUGUCAACAUCUUCCCAAGCUUGAAGGGCUUUACCUGGGUUUGAAUGAAUUAUUUGGUAACAUUCCAUCAAGUAUGGGCAAAUGUUGCAACCUUAAAAUUUUGUGGUUGUCCUCUAAUCAAUUGAUGGGGAUCAUUCCAAAAAGUAUUGGAAAUCUGACACGACUCAAAGAAUUAUAUUUGGGGCUGAAUAACCUAGAAGGUAUUAAAUUUUCUUGGUUUUUGAGUUUAAAGUAUUUUUUUUAUAAAAGAGUUUGAUUAGUAAUAGAUAAUAAAGUAAGAGCAGUUUAUUUCAUUCAAGGCAAAAUAGUUCAAAAUAGUUAAUUUGAUGAAAACAAAUAUGCUUAAAAAUAUUAAAAUCUAACAUCUGCAAAUUAUGUAAAACAAAAAAGAAAACCUCUUUGACUUAUGAUAACAAAAUAGGUAGUUUGACACCUUGAUUUUUCGACUAUGUGUGCAGGCCAAAUUCCUGAGGAAAUCGGUAAUCUUCUUGGUUUAGAAAUGCUUAAUAUUAAAGCAAUUAAAGGCCUUACAGGUCCGAUUCCAACUUCGAUCUUCAACAUUUCUUCUCUGAAGGCCAUUGAUCUCUCCAGCAAUAGCCUAUUAGGUAGUUUGCCUAAUGAUAUGUGUCAACAUCUUCCCAAACUUGAAGUGCUUUACUUAGAAGAUAUUGAAUUUUCUUCGUUUCUUUAAUUGAACAGUUUAGAAGGCAUGUUUUUCACUUCAAUUUUUGACUAUGUGUGCAGGUCAGAUUCCAUCAAGAAUUUUUAAUUCAACUACGCUCGAAGAAAUAUAUCUAUUUAACAACAAAUUAGAAGGUAUGUUUUUCACUUUAAUUUUUUCCUAACUCCAAAAACAUUGUGUUCAAUUUGUUUCUUCUAUUUAUGUCAUAUAAUUUUAUCAUUUUAAUCUAAUAAUAAACAAUAAAUUAUUUGAGGGUACUUUAGUUUUUUAAUAUCAGUUAUAUUAUUUGAGGGUACUUUAGUUUUUUAUUUUAAAAAAUUAUGGUGAUAUAUAUUUGAAUCCACAUCAAUACAUAAAACCAUAAAUUUAUCACAUAAUUUUAUGAUGUCACAAAUUAACUCGACACCAACUUAGGAAUUGACAACAACAUCAUCAUAAAUAACUGUAUUCAUUUAGUAUUCUUAAUUUGAUGUAUUCAUAUGUUUAAAUUAUGCUUUACUUACAGUUUAAUCUAUUUUUAUUUUAAUAUGGUAGAUAUGCCAUGUGUUAUUAUUAAAUAGUUUCAAAUUAUGCAUUUCAUUAUUUAUCAUAAGUUAUUUUAAAACACAAAUUUAUGUUCUAAAUAUGUGGUUCUCAUACACGUAUGUGUAUCAUAAAGUUUCUAAUUAUAAUUUAAGUAUAAAGUAAUUCAAUAUAAAUUUUAAAUUUUUAUUAUGUGUUUUUUAAAAUAAUUUUUUAAUAGAAUCAAAAUUGUUAUUUAUAAGGAUGCUAAAUUUUCUUAUGAAGUGAAUUUAUUUAACCAAAUAUUUUAGUAAAACCAAAAUUCUUAUCCAUACAUAUGAUAAAUCUUAAAAGUAAUAAAAAAUAUUUAAAAUAAUAAAUUCAAUAAUAUGGUAAACAACAAAGAUUAUAUAAUUAUCAGUUCAAAAGUUUCUCAAAAUCCAUACAUUUAUUUAUAUAUAUAUAUAUAUAUAUAUAUAUAUAUAUAUUUAAUGGCUUAAUGCACAGUUUAUUCCCUAGAGCAUAUUGCUUCUUCUCUUUUUCUUAACUUUGGUCCUUAAUGUAUUGUUGCCCACUUUAGUACCUAAUAUUAUCAAACAUUUCUAGUGUAGUCUCUAACAUUAUCAGGUGUUGUUGGUUUAGUCCAUUGGACGUUAAAAAAUUUAACUAACCAUAAAUUGUCAUGUGGCAUAUGAUGACAUCAUGAUGGCAUCAUCAUCUAGAAAAAAACCAAAACAAUCUUUAAAAUUUCAAAUAAAAUUAUAAAAAAUAACUACAUUAUAAAUAUAUAAUUGUUUUAAAAAAUAAAAUUUUUAAAUUUUUAAUAAAUAAUAAAAUUAUUAAAAAUUGUUAGAAAUUUUUAAAUAUUGUAAAAAAUUAUUAAAAAUUAUUAGAAAUUAUAAAAGACGAUAAAAAUUAAAAAAAGAGAGUUAAAAACUAGUAAAAAUUGCGUAACUUGAAAUAAAGUAUAUAUUCGCUAAUAUUUUUAAAAAUAAAAAUAAAAAUUUGAUAUUAAAAUUGUAUAUUAUGGGGCAAUCAAUUUUUAUAAAAAAAUAUUUUAAUAAAUUUUUAAUAUAUUAAAAUAUAUCAAAAUUUAGUACUUUACCAACUUCCCAAUUCAUAAAUAGGAGAAUAACGCAAUUCAGCAUACUUGAACCCACAUUCUCCUACAUUGGUAACAAUGCACAUGCCAGUCAGGCUAAGACUCAAUCGACAAUUCUUUAGAAUAAUUAAACAUGCAACAAUAGUUCUUAAAAUAUUAGUCUAGACACAAAUAAUUUAUCUUGAAAUAGUAAAACAAUAUUUAGAAUAAUUAAAAACAUAAAUAUCAAGUUUAUUUUAUUUUUCAAAAUGCCAUACUAACACAAAAACUUUUUAACAGUUUUAAUAAAUGAACCUAAAAUUUUAAAUUCAAAAAAUAGAGAGACUAAAUCACAGAAAAUAAAAAAAUAUAAAGAUUAAAUUUCAAAUAUAUGAAAAAUACAAAAAUUUUGAGCAAAUAAUAAUCUUUAAAUUUUACAGUAUAAUUUAAUAAAAAUAAAUAAUUAACCCAAUAGAUAAAAAUCAUACACAUUCUCAUGCCAAACUUUUAUUUUUAUUUUAUUUCAAGUUUUACAAUAUUUUAAAAAAUUAUUAGUGUAUUAUAUGUUUUGUCUAUACAAAUCACAAGGACUAAUUACUACUCAAAACUUCUUAUUAUGUCUCAACCUUCUAAUUGAUUUCAUCACAUUUUUCCAUGCCAAAAUUUUAUUCUUAAUUGAUUUAAAGUUUUACAGUUUUUAUUUUAAUGUAUUAUAUAUUUUGUGAAUUUGGUAUUCAAUGAAUAUGUAUACUAAAAGAUGCUAUUUUUCAGGUAAUUUACCACCCAUCACCAAUGCUCCAAAGCUUGAGAUUCUUUUAUUGUGGGGAAAUAAUCUUAGCGGAAACAUCCCAACUCUAUCUCCAAUGCUUCCAUGCUUAAGAUUCUAGCCUUGGGAGAUAACUUAUUCUCUGGCCCCAUCCCUAAAAUGCUUGGUAGCUUAAAACACCUUGAAUUGCUCGAAAUCUUUGACAAUAAUUUGAUCACAGGAUCUGCUACUGAUCAUGAGUGGAGCUUUCUUUCUUCUUUGACGAAUUGCAGGCAUUUGAGAAAUAUAGCGGUUUCACGAAAUCCAUUGAGUGGCGUUCUUCCUACUUAUAUCGGGAACCUUUCAAAAUCCCUUCAAUACUUUUAUGCCUCUAUUUGUGAGCUUCAAGGCAUUAUUCCUAUGGAAAUAGGUAACUUAAACAACCUAUUUCUUUUAGAACUUGGCUAUAAUAAAUUAAGUGGAUUCAUUCCAACAUCAAUAGGAGGACUGCGAAAUCUCCAAAGUCUAGGUCUUUCCUCUAAUAAAUUAGGAGGGCCUAUCUUAGAAAGCCUCUGUGGUUUGGAGAGACUAUACAAGAUGCAUUUAGGGUGGAAUAAGUUGCAUGGAUCCAUACCCUCUUGUUUGGGUAAUAUUACUUCUUUGGGAUAUCUUUACUUAGAUUCCAACAAAUUGAGUUUCGCAAUACCCUCAACUUUGUGGAAUCUUAAAGAUAUCUUAGAAAUAGAUUUAUCAUCAAACCAUCUUCACAAUUCACAUGCUAUUGAUGUUGGAAAUUUGAGGAGUCUACUGAAACUAAAUUUAUCAAGGAAUCUUCUCACGGGCGAUAUCUUAUCCAUAUUUGGGGGUCUUCAAACUUUGGUUUCAUUAGAUUUAUCAAAUAAUAUACUACAUGGUCAUAUCCCUAAAUCAUUUGAUGGGUUGAUUAGUUUGGAAUUCUUGGAUUUAUGCAAUAACAAUCUCUCUGGAGUCAUUCCCAAAUCUUUGGAAAAGCUUUUAUAUCUAAAGUAUUUUAAUGUGUCUUUCAAUAGACUUGAAGGGGAAAUUCCCAGCAAAGGAUAUUUUUCAAACUUUUCUAGCACAUCAUUCAUGAAGAAUUAUGCACUUUGUGGUCCACCUAGAUUGCUAGUCCCACCUUGCAAAAACGACAUCCACAAAAACUCCCAAAUGAUUAUAUUGCAUACUUUUAGGUAUGGUUUACCAACAAUUGGUAUUGUCGUAGUACUAAUAGUCUUAACUAUUAUGUAUAGAAGAUGCCAAAGAAGGAGUACAACUCUACCAAUCAAAGAUGAUUUGUUGUCUUUGAAAACACCGAGAAGAAUUUCACAUGCUGAACUUUCACGAGCAACUAAUGGAUUUGAGGAAAGAAAUAUGCUUGGUUCUGGGAGUUUUGGAUAUGUAUAUAAAGGGAGGCUUUCAGAUGGAAUGGAAGUUGCAAUAAAAGUUUUCAAUUUGCAAACAGAGGGAGCAUUUAGGAGUUUUGACAUUGAAUGUGAUGCUAUGCGUAAUAUAGUUCAUCGUAAUAUUGUGAAGGUCAUUACUUGCUGCUCAAGUGUUGACUUCAAAGCCUUAGUGCUUGAUUACAUGUCUAAUGGAAGCCUUGAGAAAUGCUUACAUGCUGAAAAUUGUUUCCUUGAUAUCAUACAAAGGAUCGACAUAAUGAUAGAUGUUGCGGUAGCUAUAGAACACCUCCACAAUGGACAUCCAACACCUAUAAUUCAUUGUGACAUAAAACCAAGCAAUAUUUUACUAGAUGAAGACAUGGUUGCACAUGUUGGAGAUUUUGGCGUU
This 50359-nucleotide long non-coding RNA is filed under the name Gossypium raimondii (Peruvian cotton). RNAcentral's name for it is "long non-coding RNA (GRAI_LNC007562)". Lineage: Eukaryota; Viridiplantae; Streptophyta; Magnoliopsida; Malvales; Malvaceae. The record is from RNAcentral.